RNAcentral lists this long non-coding RNA (88200 nucleotides) under Sorghum bicolor (sorghum). RNAcentral describes it as "long non-coding RNA (SBIC_LNC010393)". The stretch from base 84797 to 84903 matches the Rfam family "Plant small nucleolar RNA R71". Lineage: Eukaryota; Viridiplantae; Streptophyta; Magnoliopsida; Poales; Poaceae. The record is from RNAcentral.
CCCUACUCUAAUAAGGCUUUUGAUAUCUGGAGCUCAUAGGUGGGAGACAGCUAAUACAUACUUACAAGACAUUUAUUGCAUAGUCAAACCAUGAAUCCAGAAGAACAAGUCAAUAAGUCAAAUCAAGAUGUGCAUGUGUGGCGAAUGAAUGGUGCAUGGUAAUGAUGGUGAUAACAAUGGUGAAAGUCUAAUUCUACUUUUGCUCUUUUGAGGGGAUACAUACCUUCCUUGCUCUUUUGAAACUUUUUUUUGAGGAGAAUGAGAUGCUCUAUAUUUUCUUUUCUUCUUUUUUUUCUCUCAGGUGGGUAUCUUGUACCCCUAAUUCUACUAUCGGACACUUGUCCAUUUUUACGUCUCGUCUCACUUUUUUUUCUUUCGAGGUUCCGGGCACUUGCCCCUUUUUAUUUCCUCGUAUUCUUUUCUCUUCUUUUUUUUCUCUUUUUUUUCUUCUUUUUUUGAGAGCACUCAUUUCCUAAAAUAAUAUAGCAAAUGGUAGUAACCAAGAUAACUUGAGCAUUUAUUUCAAGGGGAAAACAGAAAUAGGAGAAUGUUUUUAGCUAUUCUCUCCCGGAUUAGGAGUAUAAUAUUUUUGGAUGGUUCUGGAGAUGGAAAUGAGUGGAUGUAUGUGGAUGCGUACUUCCAGAGUAGAAGCAGCAUGUAUGAGUGAACUUGCAAGUGAAUCUUAAUUUAACCACAUGACAAGCUCCUAAGGGUCUACACAGCUUGACCACACUCAAUGCUCAUAAGCAGUAAAAUGUAAAUGUGUGGCUCAAAGUCUAGCAAGCAUGUAUAUAUGGUUGUGGUAGGAAUUUAAACUCUCAUCAUACAGGAACUCAUCAUGUGAUAUUUUAAAGAUUUUCAAAGAUAAAAUUCUCCAGAAUUCUAGCAUCUCUAGGAACAGAUAAACAGCAGCUCAACCUUCCCAUAUCGUAUCCGUUAACGACUUAGACUUUAGAUCAAGUACUCUCCCCACAAGUUCAGGUUUAGAGCAAAUCUUAAUUAAUACCAGUCAUGCCUAAACUUAAGAGAGAUUUCAAUUUUGAGAACUAGUCAUGGUAGAGCAACUAUUCAUCAUUUCCAUGUGAGAGCUUAUCAUGAGGGUUCAUAGCAAACUUUAUUUAUUUAUUUAGCAAACUAAGCAAGGAUAUAUAUAAGCACAAAAUCUUUAUUUGGGUUUUUAUGAUUAUGCAUCUUUUUAUUAUUUAAGUAAAGUAUAAACAUGAGUAGAGCACUUAGCUGGAUAAAUGGGGUUGCUCUCCCCCAAGCUGGGUUUUGACGUAAUUCCUUCUGAUGUAGCUAGCAGGUGGCGGAGGUGUAUUUGAAUGUUGGCAGCACCCUAACAGUGAUUAAUACGUCCUUCGUCUACUAGUCUUCUUUGAUCCUUGAAUUAUGUGGAGCUCAAAUAGACAACAAAGCUUUGUUGAACUGGUUAAGUGUUAGCAUAAAUAUCUAGCCUUUAUCAUGUUGAGCCUCCUCAAUAAAUGUUACUCACUUUGGUAGGAUCAUAAAUUUGUUUUUAUAAUUUUAUUUUUAUAGGACAGGAAUAUAUUUAUUUUAUUUUUAUGCCACCACAGUGAAUGUACUUAUGGGUUUUAUGCCAUGAGCAUACUCACAUGGGGCUUACUAUUUUUAACAAUUUUAUUUUCUUUUUAAGAUGAUAUGAACCUGAUUAACUAAGCAAACUAUUUUAAAUAAUUGAAAGGGAAAAAGGAUAACUACCAAGUUUACCUCUUGGCAAGGCGUUCGGUGUUUUAAAGUCCUCCGAACAGGACUCUCUAUUUUCUCAGUUGUCUUGGGAUUUGCUGGAUGGCGUACUCGGUGGUUCCGGCAGCGCCUGGUCUUCAUGUAUAACUAUCUUCUCUCUCCACACCUGACUCUUUGCUACGGUCUCCUCAGGACAGUUCUGUUCAAGCUGUAUGUCUUCAGACCUUACGACUUCUCCUUCAUAGUCUGCCCAUCCGUCCUUGAUGAUUUGCCUCCUCUAGUUGCGGUUGCGUCGUCUUCUUCUUGCCCUAACCUGCUUAGAGUCUUCAACUAUAUAGUUAGGGUCAGUAAAAUAGUAGCGUACCUUCUCAGAGGGGAAGUGCAUGUGGACUUCUCCGGUUCCAAUGUAGAUAAUUGCUUUAACAGUGCUGAGGAAUGGUCUUCCAAGGAUGAUGGGUGGAUCGUACUUGUCUUCUCCCAUGUCAAUAACCUUAAAAUCAUCUGGAGCUGAAUGUAUGUUGGUUGUAGGGACAUGGUUCCAUGCAGGAGCUGAUAAGUGACUGCGGCCAUUAUGUUGAUGUUAGAUCCGGUGUCGUAGAGUGUCUUCUGAAAAGAAUAUCCGUUGAUUGUGCACUCGAUGCUUGGAACACCAGGGUCGUCCUUCUUGAUCAAGAAAGGUGACUUGAGUUGACGAUCUUGACCUCCUUGAGCUGCAGUGACCAUCUUAGCUGACUUGGUCCACAUUUGCUUGUUCCUGUUCCUCUUGUUGGUCCUUCCUUGGUUCAUGUCAGGAUUGCUCUAAGAUUUGUGUAGUCUUGUUGUUGAAGGAAAACGUCUCCUUCCUUCCCUUGAUAUAGAAACUGAUCUUGGCAGCACUAGCGUAGAUGACAGCUCCCGAGGUGUUCAGGAAUGGCCUCCCUAGGAUGAUGGGUGCCCUCUCAUCAGUAUCAGUCUCUAUCACCACGAAGUCUGCUGGAGCGUAUAAGGUACCAACUCAGACGUAGAGGUUCUUCAAUAUUCCCUUUGGGAAACUUAGUGUCUGAUCUGCAAGCUGCAAACACAUGGUUGUUUCUAGGAAAGGAUGUGUAAAGAAUUUUUCAUAGAGUACCCUGAGCAUAAUGUUGACGCUGGAGCCAAAGCUGCAGAGUGCUUCUCGGAAGUCCACCAUGCCGAUGGAGAUCGGGAUGACGGGACGUCCUGGAUUGUAUCUCUUGACCGGCAGAAGGUCAGUAAUUACUUCCACAACAGGGUUACUCCAGUAGUUACGUCCUCAAGCAUCUCAGGGCAGUGAUUGCCUGAGUGUCCAGUAUCUCCAGAGUGUUUGUGCUCGUAGAUCUAGGUUCUUCACUUGGUGGAGUCUGGGAGUUAUAAAAGUCCUUCAUAUUUUGCUCGAAAUGUACCUACUCAUAGAGACAAGGCAGAGAUCAAGUGCAUGGGCCCUGUUGGUGGAAAACACCAACAGAACCAAAAGUGUAUUUGUUCUUCUCUAACCUCAAGCAUAGUGAGCAAGACAAAGUUGAUGGAUAAUAAAAUCAUGAGUGUAGUAUUUAACAUUUGUCAGAUUAGAUUGCUCAACCUUAUGGAAAGAUAAUCUAUCUAUAUAUAUGUUUUGUUUAUAUCUUCCAAAGAUUGAGUGUGCAACAUUUUAGCUAAUAUGAUUAUGAGUGUGAAAUCACAAAGGUGGAAGGACUAAACAUGUUGAAUCGAUUGGGUUGGUUAAUCUAGAGUUGUAGAUCAUACAUGUUUGUCUCUUUUAUUCAUGUGAACGCCAGAACCAAGGAGAAGCUUAUAGAAGUGAUAGUCAAGUACUUUAAGAUGUUACCUUUCUUGAAGAGUGAUGGUGCAGUAUUACCUUAUGGAAGCUUUCCUUUCUUUGCGGUUGUGCAUCGUGUUGGUGGCACCCUCCAUGGAUCAUCUCUUGUGAGCUAUGUCUUCCUUGUGUAAAUUGUUAAACUUCAUGUGUGUCUCUCUUUGUCUCCAAUGUGAGUUUAUCUCAGGACUUCCUAGGUCGAUAUUGAAAGUUUUCUUUUUUUUCUGCAGGGGUUAGUCUGACAAAAUAUACCGAUCUCUACACAAGCAGUUUUUAGUUCAAUAACCAAACUAGACUCCAUGUCUAAUUAGAUUAAGGAAGGCUGUUUAACCUAAGCACCAUGUACUUCCAAACUAACACUUACUAGGAUAAACAAAGGUAGCGUGAUGGCUUUUAUAGAGAUCUCAAGUGGAGAUGAAGUAGUGUGAUUAGUAUUUAACAAAUUGAGCAUGUCUCAAAGGUAGGGACAACCAACAUAGCAACAUGGCAAAUUAUGUUUUUAUAAAGUACUCCCCCAAGCUUGAAUUUUGCAAAAUUCAAGUUUGGAUGAAUUUAAUUCAAUGUUGUAUGAUGAUUGGUUGUACAUACCUUGUGCUUGUCAUUCAUCUGAUCUUCUUGCUCCAAUCCUAGAAAGGUUAGUGACAAGAAUACCCGAAGGAAUUUUUUUACAAUUAUCCUUAUAUGCUCAAUACACAAGGUAAUGUUGCAAAUAAUUAAAAGCUCAUGUUACGAUCUGAUCAGUGCUUGUUUUAGGACACUAAGCUUGUCCUUGGGAAACCAUUAAUUUAUGUCGGUGAAGUGGUUUCCCCUCCAACGCUGACCUAUAUCAAGAUUGACUCAACAAGAUCUGCAAUAUUUCUUAUAGACAUAUGCAUCGACAACCGCCCUUUUAAAGUUUUUAUAAAUAGAAAGGAUGAGGGGGUUGGAGAUCUCGAAUGUGGUGAUGUUGGAGAGAUCAAUGGAUUGUGAAGAUGUUGCAUAUGAGCAUGGAGCAAAUGAAGUGGCUAUGAAAUAAAUUCCAUGCUCAUUAAUGCUUAGAGUGAAAUCCAUGUGGUAUAGUGAAAGUGAUAAGCACUAGUACAAAAAUCGUUUUUGCUGGCACGUUGUUUUUUUUUCACUGGCGGUUCACAAUAUCAUGGCGCUAGUAGAAAAAUUUCAGAGGCCCCAACAAGAAAACCUCCUGUGUAAACACGUUUACACAGGCGGUCUUCUUAACUACACCGCCUGUGUAAACUUCACAUUUACACAGGCGGCUUACAAUACAAACCGCCUGUGUAAAUACCAUUAACACAGGCGGCCGAUUUAAGACAACCGCCUGUGUAAAUGUGUCUGUUUACACAGGCGGUUUGUAUAGAGGACCGCCUGUACUAAUGUAUUUACACAGGUGGCCCUCUUUAUGAGCCGCCUGUGCUAAGUCUGCUAUAAAUACCCUUUGUCCACCUCCAGACAAGAACAGUUACUCCCGUGAGCUCACGGACCAGGCGGACCAGACGAUUCCAGUUUCCAAGGGGGGAGGUUUUGAUCCUCAUUUCUUUGGUGAGAAACUUCCAAAAGGUUAGUUGGAGCCCUUGAUGCUAUUUUUUUAGUGAUACUAUGGUUCAAUUCUUGUAUUGGAGGUGCUCUAGAUCUAGAGUUCAUGAACCAUUCUUGCUUAGGGUUAGGGUUCAUAGGGCAAGAGAGAGAAUUUUAGCUAAAUUUUUAUGUAAAUUCAUAGUAAAUUGUAGAAAUUAAAAAAAUAGAAAAUAAAUACUUUUUAGAAUUCUUGUGAGUAGAUCUAUACAAUAGAGUAAUGAUGAGGACAUUUUGAAGUUUAUAAUUUUGAUUCAGUUUUAACUUUUCUUUUUUCAGAUGAAUUAGACUUUAUAAACUCAAACAUUAAAAUGUUGAAAAUCAUAAAAUGGCAAAUAAAUACUUUUUCAAAUCUUUGUGCAUAAAUACUUCAUAGAAAUCCUUGAAUUAUUCCUAAAUUUUAUACAAUUAUUUCUUAUAUUUAUGAAAAUGGGCUUCAACAAUUAUUUAAAUUCCAUAAAUUGUAAACUCUGUAAGGGGUAGGUUUUCAUCUCUGUUUAGUAGAAGGAGGUUAGUAUCUUAGUUAAAUCUGUUUUCGGGAGUUAUAUUAGUUUUGUUUUUAGAUUGACCUACAUUAAUUGUUCUUAACUAAUUACAGCUAAAUAUGGAGAGGUCAUUAUGGAUGUACAACUUAUCAAGAUUGGACCCAUCAUAUGUAGUGGAGGUCCAAAAGUUUAUUGAUGUUGCAAAGAUACAUGCUCGCAGAACAAAGGCGAAGCACAUAUGUUGUCCAUGCGCAGACUGCAAAAAUAUUGUGGUAUUUGACAAUGUAGAAGCAAUUACUUCCCAUCUGGUUUGUAGAGGAUUUAUGGAGGACUACUUGAUUUGGACAAAACAUGGUGAGGGUAGUUCUGCACCUUAUAUGCGGACAACAGACAACACUGCAACUAACGUCAAUGUGGAGGAUCAAAUGCCACCUCUCAAUGAAUUUCAUGCUAUGUCAGGUGUCAAUGAAACUCAUACGUCUGAUGUCAAUGACACAGAUGCUGUUGAAGAUGUAGAUUUCUUAGAGGCAAUAAUGAACCGUUGUGCAGAUCCAUCAAUAUUCUUCAUGAAGGGAAUGGAAGCAUUGAAGAAGGCAGCAGAGGACACUUGGUACGACGAGUCGAAUGGUUGUACCAAAGAGUGGUCGACAUUACGUGCUGUUCUUCAGUUUUUGACGAUGAAGGCUAGACAUGGUUGGUCCGAUGCUAGCUUCAAUGAUUUCUUGCGUGUACUUGGAGACCUUCUUCCUAAGGAGAACAAAGUGCCUGCUAACACAUACUAUGCAAAGAAGCUAGUCAGUCCACUUACGAUAGGUGUUGAGAAGAUCCACGCAUGUAGAAAUCAUUGUAUUCUAUAUCGGGGUGAUCAAUUUAAAGAUUUAGAUAGUUGUCCAAACUGUGGUGUCAGUAGAUACAAGACAAACAAAGAUUAUCGGGAGGAAGAGAAUCUAGCCUCUGUUUCUACAGGGAGGAAGCGAAAGAAGACCCAAACAAAGACUCAACAAGACAAACGCUCGAAGCCUAGUAGCAAUGAAGAAGUGGACUAUUAUGCAUUGAGAAGAAUUCCUGCUUUGGUGAUAUGGUAUCUCCCCGUGGUUGAUCGUUUGAGGUGUUUGUUUGCAAACCCUGAAGACGCUGAACUUAUGACCUGGCAUGCUUCAGAUGAAAGGAAAGAUGAUGGAAAGUUACGACAUCCAGCCGAUGCAAAGCAAUGGAAAGAUUUCGAUAAGAAAUAUCCAGACUUUGCUGACGAUCCACGAAAUGUAAGGUUUGCACUGAGUACUAAUGGAAUGAAUCCAUUUGGCGAAAGGAGCAGCACGCACAGCACAUGGCCGGUGAUCCUGACAAUAUACAACCUUCCUUCAUGGUUGUGUCAAAAGAGAAAAUAUCUUUUGCUAACCAUUCUUAUUUCUGGACCUACACAACCUGGAGUUGAUAUGGAUGUAUUUCUAGAGCCCUUAAUGCAAGACAUGCAAACACUAUGGGAAGUAGGUGUGGACAUGAUCGAUGCGUUCCACAAAGAGACAUUCACAAUGAGAGCAAUUAUUAUUGUCACAAUUAAUGAUUACCCUGCUCUCUUCUCAUUAUCAGGUCAGUUCAAGGGAAAGGUUGGUUGUGUAGAGUGCAUAGAUGGAACAUGGCACGUGUCUCUUCCUGCAUCUAACAAGAUAGUGUACAUGAGGCACAGAAGAUGGCUACCGGCAGGCCAUAAGUACCGCUUACAAAAGAUGAAUAAGUACUUCGACAAUAUUGAUGAAUCAAAAUCUACUGCUCCAUCAGGUUGUAGUAAAGGGCAUAGAGUGUACAAGAUAGUUGAGAAUGUGAAGUUUGUUUUUGGAAAGAAGACCAAAGAUGGGAAACCAAGAAAGGUUGUCAAGGCAAAUGAAGGGGACACAUUCAAGAGGAAGUCCAUUUUCUUCAAGUACUUAUCGUACUGGAAAGACUUGGACGUACGACAUGCGAUCGAUGGUAUCCAUGUUCAGAAGAAUGUGUUUGAAAGUGUAAUUGGAACCUUGUUAGACAUCAAGAGCAAGACAAAGGAAGGUCUCAAUUCAUGUUUGGACAUGCAACAUUUAAAGAUCAGAAAAGAACUUCACCCUGUACUCCUAGAGAAUGGGAAGUACCACCUACCGGCAGCAAGCUACAACCUGAACAGAGAGGAGAAACAUGCAAUGUGUGUGUGGUUGAAGAAUUUAAAAGUUCCAUCUGGUUUCUGCUCCAACAUAAGAAGUCUUGUGUCAAUGAAAGACCUUACAUUCACCAACUACAACUCACAUGAUUGUCAUGUCAUGCUGACCACUUUCCCUCCUAUCGCCAUCAGGGCUAUAAAUCCAGUGUUCUUAAAGAUGGCAAUCACACGGUUGUGCUACUUCUUGAAUAAGAUAUCUGAGAAGGUAAUUGUCCGUGAUGAGUUAGAGUCCCUACAAAAAUUUGCUGCAGAGACAUUGAGCCAGUUGGAGAUGUGCUUUCCAACAUCGUUCUUUGAUAUAAUGGUACACCUUGUUGUUCAUUUGGUACCUCAAAUAGAGGCAUUAGGUCCCAGUUAUUUCCAUGAAAUGUGGACGUAUGAGCGUUUCAUGUCAAUAUUGAAUGGCUAUAUGUCAAAUCGUGCUCAUCCAGAGGGUUCCAUGAUAGAGGCGUACACUACAGAAGAGGCCAUUGAGUCUGGAGGACCAUUAUGUAAUAAUCUCCUAAAAGACCAGGUAUCAAUUGGUUUGCCUCCAUUGCGACAUGAGGGAAGGCUUGAUGGACGCGGGAGAAUGGGACGGAAAUCAUUCAUCCCACCAGAUUACAACAUAGUCCUAGAGGCACAUUAUAGCAUACUACAACAACUCAUAAUAAUGGACCCAUUCAUUGAGCAGCACAUGAAAGAGCUUCGUGAGAAGAAUCCAGGAUGCACAAAUGAUUGGGUACACAAGGAACACAAGCGUCAGUUCACCACAUGGUUAAAGGAUUUGGACAUGACAGAGGAAUCAGAAACCAUUAAGAUGUUAGCAUCUGGACCAUCAAGCCAGGUCACAUCAUGGCAGAGCUAUGACAUUAGUGGCUUUUCAUUUUCCACCAGCUAUAGGGACACCAAGAGCAUGGGACAGAAUAGUGGCGUUCGAUGCGAGGCUAUAGAUGAUGCAACUGGUGAAACAAAUACAUACUUUGGGUUCAUUGAUGACAUAUGGGAGGUAGAAUAUGGUCCACUCCUGCAGAUUCCAGUGUUCCGAUGCCGAUGGGUUCAAGAUAAACAUGUCACUGUGGAUAACUAUGGCCAGAGAGUUCUUGACCUAAGUAAAGUAGGUUAUAAAGAUGAUCCGUGGAUCCUUGCUAACCGUGCCGCACAAGUCUUCUAUGUGGAACAAAUCCUUUCUAAGGAUGAAAAGAAAAAUAGCCACAAGCCAAAGCAUAUAGUUAUUCCUGGAAAGCAACAAAUUAUAGGAGUUGAUGGUGUAAUGGAUUUGGAGGAUGUUAACCAAUUCAGCGAGAUGUCUCUUUUUACAAACUUUCAAGAAAACAUAAAAAAUGUUGAGAAAAGUAUCCUACAAUCCUCAUUGCCAUGGGUGCGCCACGAUGGACAAGGAAGGAUUGUAGCACGCUAAAUUCUAUAAGUUAUCAUUACUCAUGUAACUCAUGUAUCACUUAUCAUUUGUACCUUAUGCUACUAUUUCUUAUUAAGCAACAUGUUUACAUUUUUCAUUUGUUUUAUAAUAUUUGCACUCCUUUUGUAUUUUAUAACAAAGCACUCCUUUUGUAUUUUAUAAUAUUUGAACAAUUUAUUAUAUAUUUUACAGGCGGCUGUAAAUGAAAACCGCCUGUACUAAUCUAUUAGUACAGGCGGCUCUCAAAGACGUCCGCCUGUAGAAAUCCAAACCUAUUUAUACCUAGAGCGCGGGCCGUAAAAUUUUUCAACUCCCGGUGGCGCGAGGUUGACGAAAGACGCUGUUAGGCUGCCGAAAUCCACCGCCGCGCCAGCCAUCUCUCGCCGGAGCCCGCCCGCGACGCUGCUGCCCUGCCUCCGCGCCCCCGCCGCGAGCCACUGCGCCGCCGAGGAGAGCCCGUGCGCCGCCGCCACCGAGGACGUCCGCGUGCCGCCGCCGCCGCUGACGCCGCCGCCACGCGCCACACCUCCGCGCCGCCGACGNNNNNNNNNNNNNNNNNNNNNNNNNNNNNNNNNNNNNNNNNNNNNNNNNNNNNNNNNNNNNNNNNNNNNNNNNNNNNNNNNNNNNNNNNNNNNNNNNNNNNNNNNNNNNNNNNNNNNNNNNNNNNNNNNNNNNNNNNNNNNNNNNNNNNNNNNNNNNNNNNNNNNNNNNNNNNNNNNNNNNNNNNNNNNNNNNNNNNNNNNNNNNNNNNNNNNNNNNNNNNNNNNNNNNNNNNNNNNNNNNNNNNNNNNNNNNNNNNNNNNNNNNNNNNNNNNNNNNNNNNNNNNNNNNNNNNNNNNNNNNNNNNNNNNNNNNNNNNNNNNNNNNNNNNNNNNNNNNNNNNNNNNNNNNNNNNNNNNNNNNNNNNNNNNNNNNNNNNNNNNNNNNNNNNNNNNNNNNNNNNNNNNNNNNNNNNNNNNNNNNNNNNNNNNNNNNNNNNNNNNNNNNNNNNNNNNNNNNNNNNNNNNNNNNNNNNNNNNNNNNNNNNNNNNNNNNNNNNNNNNNNNNNNNNNNNNNNNNNNNNNNNNNNNNNNNNNNNNNNNNNNNNNNNNNNNNNNNNNNNNNNNNNNNNNNNNNNNNNNNNNNNNNNNNNNNNNNNNNNNNNNNNNNNNNNNNNNNNNNNNNNNNNNNNNNNNNNNNNNNNNNNNNNNNNNNNNNNNNNNNNNNNNNNNNNNNNNNNNNNNNNNNNNNNNNNNNNNNNNNNNNNNNGCUGGGCCUGGCAGGCGCCCUUGCUGCCUUUUUUUUUAAUUUUUGUAAAUUAUUUAUUGUUAAUUAUUGAUUGUUUAUUAAAUAUUAGGGUUUGUUUGUUAAUUAAUUAUAUAUUUGUUAAUUAUUAGUUGUUAAUUAAUUAUUAGGGUUUGUUUUGUAAAUUAUUUAACUUGUUAAUUAUUGGUUGUUAAUUAAUUAUUAGGGUUUGUUUUGUAAAUUAUUUAAUUGUUAAUUAUUGGUUGUUAAUUAAUUAUUAGGGUUUGCUUUGUAAAUUAUUUAAUUGUUAAUUAUUGGUUGUUAAUUAAUUAUUAGGGUUUGUUUGUUAAUUAAUUAUAUAUUUGUUAAUUAUUAGUUGUUAAUUAAUUAUUAGGGUUUGUUUUGUAAAUUAUUUAAUUGUUAAUUAUUGGUUGUUAAUUAAUUAUUAGGGUUUGUUAGUUCAUUAUUUAUUUGUUAAUUAUUGAUUGUUAAUUAAUUAUUAGGGUAUGUUAGUUAAUUAUGUAUUUGUUAAUUAUUGGUUGUUAAUUAAUUAUUAGUGUUUGUUAGAUAAUUAUUUAUUUGUUAAUUAUUGGUUGUUAAUUAAUUAUUAGGAUUUGUUAGAUAAUUAUUUAUUUGUUAAUUAUUGAUUGUUAAUUAAUUAUUAGGGUUUGUUAGUUAAUUAAUUAGGGUUAUUUAUUUGUUAGUAAUUAUUGAUUAUUAAAUUAGUGUUAGUUUUAAUUAGGGUUAUAAAUUAUUUGUUUACUUAGAUGACUACUCCAUCGAAUGAGAUAGAAACACCGGGAUCCAACACCUCUGGAUCCGACACUUAUAGGAGUCCGAGCGUAUCACCACGUGAAUCCCCCAGAGCUAAGAAGGCUCGUCUAGAGUUGGAACAUGACCCGACAUACGAGCCUCAAGCUGAUCCGGAUGAUGAUGAGAUAUAUAUUGUAGUAGUGUCUAUACAAUAGAAUACAUGUGUAUAUAUGUAUAUACCUAACAAUUGAAUGGACAGGAGGUGUUAUCUCAAGUUGUUGCCGAAAUGGAGGCAGAAGAACAAGAUGUUCAGAAGGACAUGGCGCCUCAAACGACUGGGACAUCCUCUGAGCCAAGAAGUAAAACAAAAAAGAGUGAUCGGGCACGAGGAGACAGAGGAAGCAAUAGAUUUCCAGAAGAAGUUUACCAGAUUAUAGAGUUAAGUCUGAGCGGAGAGCCCUUAGCACCUCUAGAGGCGCUACCCAAAUUUAGGGCCGCAAUUGAAUAUUUAGUAAAAGAGGAAUUUGAUAUCAGUUUGAGUGAUUGGAGUAUGGUGCCACAAGUGAAAAGGACCAGUUGCUGGAAUCGCUUGUGCACUCGAUUUAUUUUUCCCGAUGGUACAGAUGAAUUGGCCAAGGGUUAUGUCAUGAAGCAGUUGGCAAUAUCAUUCCGGGGCUAUAGGCACGAUAUGAACAAAAAGUGGUUGCAGAAGGGACGGGACCCGACGAAGCGGUACCCUAUCACAGAGGCUCAGUGGGCACGUUUUCGUUUGAUGAGAGAAUCAGACGAUGCGAAGGCUAAGAGCAAAGCCGCCUCUGAACUCGCGAAGAGGAACAAGUAUCACCACCACCUUGGCACUGGUGGUUAUAAGACCAAGAUUCCUAAAUGGAGGGCAGAAGACGAUGCAAAGAGGAGAGAGGGCCAUUUGGCAUUGACCGAUAUAGUGCCUGAAAGGAGUGCGAAUUGGCUUCGUGCUCGGAAGGCAAACACUGAGAGCGAUGAGAUGUCAUGUCCCGAUGAGAUUAGAGAAGUUGCCGACAAGAUUUUGGAAGCAUCAAACCUAGAAAAGAAAGGUGCCUUCAAGUCAUAGAGGGAGAGGGACAUCCUUACCCAUGCUCUAGGUAACCCCGAGCAUCCAGAACGUGUACGGGGAUUCUCCUCCAGAAUUAGUUGGAAAGAAGGAUUCGGUGAUGAGUGGAAAGGCAUGUAUAAGAAAAGAGACCGACAUAAGGAGGAAAUGAAAGAUUUUUUUGAGCAGCAGGUUGCAAAAAAGUUUAGGGAUAUGAUGGAAGACUUCUUUACAAAUCCUAAUCCUGAAGUGAUGAAGCGGUUGGCUGGAGCAGUGUUUGCUCAACAAAUGUCCUCACAAGCUCCUUCGCAUAUGCAGCUUGUACCAGCUCAACCCUUGGAGCGUCAGGAGAUGGCCUCACAAUCUAAGCCCUUUCCAAGCAGUAUAGCGUCAACAACAAAUGAGGACCAUUAUCCAGUUGAUGAUAUUGAUAGACCUUGGCCUUGCUCCUUGGUCAUAUCCUAUGGCCUUAAGAAUCAACAUACUAAGCAAGUGGCCACCGGUAAUGCUAUCCUAGGACGUACAUUCCAUACUGUUGACAUGCAAGAUGCAUACUGUAGGGUGGAAGUGUUGACGGUCGAGGCCGGAUAUGAAGACGACUUCAUAGACAUCCCGACCUCUGAGGGUAUAGAGAAGCUUGGACAAUCAAUCAAUAACUUCAUACAAUGGCCGAGACGGUACGUAAGGUUGAUUGAUCCACCAGCGCCACCCUCUCCAAGCAUAGUGCCUCAACAAUCCCAAGAGGCCGAAACAUAUCAACAACCACCAUCACCAAUGCAUGCUCCAGCAUCCCCGUACAUUUAUGAGCCACCACCAUCCUCCCCAAUACAUGAGAUGGCAUUCUUGCAGAAUGAGCCCGAGGUGCCAGCCAAGGAGAACAUGCCUGAGCAGCAGACUCCGCCAUCCAAGGAGAACAAGCAAACUCCCCCACCACCUCCAAAGGAGAAGGAGGAUGAGCAAACUCCCCCACCACCUCCAAAGCAGAAGGAAGAUGACCAAACUCCCCCAGCAGCACCGGCGUCAAAGAAGGUGAAGAAAUUUCCAAUUCCAAAAUUGAUUUCUCCCUUUGAGCCAAAAAAGGGGAAAGCAGCAGGCACAGCUCUCUUUCUUAAAGGACUUGGAAAGCAGCGGACAGCACGGCUUAUUGAGCUCGAACCGUCACAGAAAAAGGAAGCCACCGCCCAGUCAAUAGAAGCCAUGCCCCCAUCAAAGGAAGCCCCAAGUGGCGAUGUACAUGUCAAACAGCCAUCAAGUCAACCAUUGACCCUAACGGAUAUCAGAAAGCCAACGAUUGAUGAUUAUGUCAAUGUCCCCAGUGACUAUGUGCCUGGAAGGCCUAUGCUCCAAUGGACGAUGCUUGAUAAGAUUCAAUGGCCGAUAAAAAGAUUUCAUAACUGGUACAUGAGAGCAGUGCAUGCUGGCCUCCAUGCAAUCAGAGUUGAUAUACCAGCAGACGUGUUUGCUACUGGUAAUGAAAAAAGCAAGGCAUUUGUUACCUUUGAGGACAUGCACUUGUUAUUGAACUAUAGGCGGCUUGACGUCCAACUCAUAACAAUCUGGUGUCUGUAAGUAUCACUCAUGCACACACAAUUAUUAUUAAUAUGUAGUGUGAAACUCUAAUAUGUAGAUGUUGUCUGUAGUUUGCAAGAUCACGAGCAGAGGUCAUUAUUAUCUACCGGAUCGAUGGUCGGUUAUCUGAGCCCUAUCAAGUUACAAGAAAAUAUGCACAAAUUUGUACUAUCAAUGGACGAUAGAGCAAAGAUAGAGAAAGACAAAACACCAGAAGAAGUUGCAGAAGCUAUUAAAGAGUUGCAAAGAAAAUACGAGGAUAAUUAUGCCCUCUAUCUUGGUAGAUCAAUGCUGAGGUAUAAGUAUAGGGAUUUUAUAUUGGCACCUUACAACUUUAGGUAAGCUUGACUUCAUAUACGUACUUCAAAUAAUUAUCGUGCAAACAAUAUACAUGUGUCGCUCACUCAUUUAUUCAUGCAGUGACCAUUGGAUUGUUUUUUAUAUUUAUCCCUUCGAAGGGAAGGUGCUUGUACUAGAUUCUUUACAUGUUCCUCCCGAGAAGUAUCAACCAUUCUUGGUUCAAUUAGAAAGGUGAGCCAACAUAUGAAACCACAUGCGUACUUAUAUAAAUUAGAGUUUCGAAAUAACUUUAGUGAUUUAUAAUCGAUAUCUACAGGGCAUGGCGGUUUUAUAAGAGACAAAAGGGACCAGUCGAUGCCGCACGCUCAGAUCCUAGGGUGCCAUUGAUGAUACAACACCACUAUCCGGUAAGUUGUCCAAACACAUUUCAUCAUAUAAAUAAUACAUAAAGCAUGGCAAAUUUAGAAUAAUCCGUUGCUCAUUAUAUAGUGCCACAAGCAACCACCUGGAUCAGUCUAUUGUGGGUACUAUGUCUGUGAGUUUAUAAGACAGCGGAGACGUUACGUUAGGGACAAAAAUAUGGUAAAUAAUAUAUAUGUAUGAAGUUUUUUCAUUAAAGUUGCAAAAUUAUAUAUUGAACAUGUGUCAAUCAUGCUUUUAAACUUUGUUUGCAGCCAAAAAAGCAACGAAAGGACGUGCCCUUUACACCAAAGACGCUGGAAGAUAUAGUAGCAGACUUGUGUGGUUUCAUAAUGAGAGAAAUAAUUCCAAGUGACGGUGCAUAUUUUGAUCAUGAGGGCGAUUUAGCAAGUGAUAAAUUUAGAGUGCUGACAGACAUAGCAGGUCUAAAUCUGAAGCGAAAUGACAUGUAAACACUGUAUGGUUGUGCGGAUAACAUGCAUUAAUUGAUGUGUAUAUAUGUAAUUUUAUGGUUGAUGUUUGAUUUCAUGUUUACAAUUCUAUAAUAUAUAUAUGUGGUGUAUAUGUACGAUGUGUGUGUGAGUGUGUGUGUGUGUAUAUAUAUAUAUACAUAUAUAUGGUGUUUAGCACUGUGUUUGGUGGGAAAAAUUAAAAUUUGAAAUAUAUAUAUAAAAAAUUAUUUACAUAGGCAGUGUAGUGUGAGCCGCCUGUGUAAAUUACAUUUAUACAGGCGGCUCACAUUGUCAGCCGCUUGUGUAAAAGUUCAUUUACACAGGCGGCUGGCUAGGUGCGCCGCCUGUGAAAACCAUAUUUUCACAGGCGGCUCACACAGCACCGCCUGUACUGUGGUCCAUUUUGUACUGACCCCUGGUACAGGCGAUGUGCUCGGCCGCCUGUGAAGAUGCCUUUAGCGCCGCCUGUAAAAAUAUUUUCCGUAGUAGUGAAGGUGAGUGUGGUAAAAAAAGAAAGGAAAAAGGAUACACGGACGACUUGGUUCGAAACUAGCACAGCUACCGUUCCCCGGCAACGGCGCCAGAGAGCUUGUUGGGUAUUUUAAACGCAAACAGAAAAAUCCGUAAGCGCACGGAUACCGAUGUAGCCUUCACCCGGGAGUAUUCCAGAGUAUCGAUUUUCCACAGGGAACGUGAGUGUACUAAUUAAGAUCCAAGAUCGCCCAAGGAUAACUAUAUAAUUAUUUUUGGUGGGAAGAGAGGAAGUUUCCUGAGAGUUCUCUAGUUGAUCUAAGAAUCAAGAAUUACUUCAAGAUUAUCUAUUUCGGGACAUCAGAGCACUAACCACAGAAAGAGAUGAGAAGGGGGCUAGGAAGGUCUGACUACGGUCCUACAAACACCGAUCCGAACGAGGUGGAAUACGUCGACCGUUAGGGCUGUCACUACCCUAAGGCUACCACAACAAUCCGCAGGAUUGGGUGCAAUUCCAGGUAAUUGCAAGACUAAACACCACGUCUAAUCUAUUAAUUACUACUCUAAUGUUGCAAAGAUUAGAGCACUUGAUGCAAGCGGGAAUCCAAUAAAUAACUUGAAUGUAAAUAAAAGUAAUUAAAGAACUCAGGAUUAUGAAUUGAAGAACCUGGACAGCGAUGAAGAACGAACCAGUUGCUGCAAAAGUACAAUGUUGAGGAAGAUCCGACAGAUCCGGCUCCUCCUCCGCUCUCCUCUUCUCUCUCCCUAUUUUCUAGAUUACAACUAGAACUAACUAGAACUAGAACUAGAGGAACUAUAACUAGAACUAGAUGAGCUAGAACUAGAUCUAGAUGAACUAGAGGUAGAACUAGAAGAACUAGAGGGAUCCUCUCUACUUGGAUGAAGAAUUGAAACCCUAACUUUGAUUCUGUAGAAGAGGUAUGAUCUCUAGGGGCCAGGGGAUCUGGUUUUAUAGUCCCUUCAAGUGAAUAUGGGCCGUUGGACCAAACCAACAUUGAUCGCACGGUUUUCCUUGAUCCUUUAGGUCGGUGGAGCAUAAUCCGCGAAACAUGUCCUGAUUGGGCACUGUAGCUGGGCGGGCGCCCUGCCUCCGAGCCUGAUUUCCUUCCCGUUCGUUCCCGUUGCUUCUAGAGUCUUCUAGAUGAUAGAAAAUUGUGCGGUACGUUAAUAUCUCUAUGUAAACCCGACGUGUGGGCCUUUCUUCCGUAUUUCCUGAUAACCCCCUGCAGAAAUAGACAAACACCAAAACUCAUGGAAUUCUGUCAGAUAAAACCCUAAGUCUAGGUGUUAGUUGCAUUUGGAUCCUUUUCUAUGAUUAGUUGAUGGUUAAAUGUGAGCAUUAAGGACCGUCAACAACAACAGCGAUGCACCCGGAUGUCAUGGCCAAGAGGUGAUCACGCGGAACUUGAGAACGCGCCGAGCUUAAGUCGACGAAUUCCUAAGAACUCGUAGUAAAAAGAAAAUAUGACGAAGUCGUCGAAAAAGUUGAUGCUGGAAAAUGAGUAAAAACUUGUGUUUGAUUGAUUGAUAGAUUGUUCAUUACAAGGCCCUAGGGUCUACAUUUAUACCCUGCUCAAAGAGCUACAAUCAGACACGACUAGGACUCAAAUUCCAAAUUAAACGAAAUUCGUAUACAAAACGAAUUUAAAUAACUAAGGAAAACAUAAAACUAUCCCCUUGUAACCGACCGGGACACCGCCACAGAUCAAUCGGCAAUCUCCACGCUUUCCUUCAGAGUCAUCGGCAGACCUCCUCUUAUGGCCAUCGGCAACCACUAAUACUGAUCAUCGGCACGAACACGUCACCACCUCUGGACUUAGUCACAUUCAACUGUCUCUUCAUCGGCAACCACCCUCAUCGGCAACUUCCCUGCAGACUAGUUACCGUUACUCCAUCUGCCGAUCUAUACUUCACCAAUCUCCGGGUACGUGUCCAAAAACGGUGUCAACACCCGGCUCACCACAGCUGUAGCAUUUAUUAUCAUUGUUAGCAUUUGGUGCUUUUGGUGCACAAUUCAUUGGUGGAGCAUUGGGAACAUUUGUCUUUACUGGAGCAUUAUAUUGACUGGCUACUGACGUUGGUUAGGAGCUCUGUACUACUGCUGCUGGUGUGCACGUUGUGGUUGUUGAUUACGAUUGAUCAGACUCGACUGACCCUGAUAACGUUGCUGUUGAUAAGGUUGCUGGGAAUUGGUAUGGGUACGUGUGUUGUUUCCUGACUGUUGUCCUUGGAACUUCCUUUUCUUAUCUUCCAUCUGACGACGUUUGUUUUCAAUCACCAAGGCCUUGUCUACCAGAUACUGAAAACAUGCAAAAGUGUGGGAUAGCAGUUGAUACUGGAGCCCAUCAUUCAAACCUUCCAUGAAUAGUUCUUGCCUCUUCUCAUCAUUUUCCACUUCAAUGGGAGCAUAUCGUGACAAUUGUAUGAACUUGUCACGAUAUUCUGCAACAGACAUACCUCCUUGCUCGAGGGAGAGAAAUUCCUUCUUUUCAGUUUCAUUAGCCCAGCAGGGACAUGAUGAGAGCGGAAAGCAUUACGGAACUCCAUCCAGGUUAUCGGGUCAGCAUCUGUACGGCCAAAACGGAAUGAAUCCCACCAAUCAAGGGCAGCCCGCUGCAUACAACACUUUCUCUCUGUCAUUACACUGUGGUUGUCUUUCAAUAGCACGAAGCCAGUCAUCAGCUUCGAGAGGGUCGGUGGAGUGUUUGAAAACAGAUGGAUGUCCCUUCAAGAAUUCUCCUCUCUUGUCCCUAACAUGAGGAGGUGCAUUUCCAUUUCCAUUUCUGUUGUUCUGCAUAUUUUGAGCCAGCUGCAGCAGCAGUUGUGUUUGCAUCAUCAUCAGCUGCUCCAUAGUAGGAGGUGGUGGUGGUGGUGGCAAGUCCUCACCCCUCCUGUUCCUCCUAGUGUUCGCCAUCUGUACCGGAUACACAAUAUGAGUCUCAUAUGUCUAAGAUACUUAAUAUAUAUAUAUAUAUAUUUAGAGACAUAACAUGCUAGAAUUUAUAUCAUCUGAUUAGUUACGGGAUUACAUAUGUUGUGAGUACAAGGUAGUAUGCAUUCUGUAUUUUUCUGCUUUCCUCACUAAAACCACAGUGAAGUAAAACAAGCAUAUCUUUCCCUCUUUUUAAAGUCUGACUGCGAACGUUAACUUUCUGGAAAGCUUGGAAAUUUUCCUACAACUUUCAUUCAGAUCACUUUCUCAAAUUCUGGCGUUUACAUAGGUGAAAACAAAUGACAACUUUUACUGUUCUGGAAUUUCUGACUGCGCAGAGAGGUCACCUUGUAAUAAUUUUAUUUCUCAAACGUUCACAGAUAUUGAGGUGGUUCCAGGGCCGAUUGAAAGAUAUAGAAGUCUAUUUUAUUCCAUAAAUGUUUUGUAUUUUUAGACCGUCCAGAACUCGGGAUAUACAAAUAUUAAGGCAGACUGCUCAGAGGGAAAAACAUGGGUGGACAGCAAGAUAUAAGUAAACCCAACUAUUUAUUCAUAUUAUCCUUAGACCUUAGCCCUAAUCUAAAUGACUGCGGGCAUGCCCACAAUCAUUAAAAUCAUGACAAAAAUCCUACUCACCCAUUAAGAAUUAUUACAAACAUGCAUUCACGUAAUAGCAAUUGUUCAAUCAGUAGAAAAUAAAAACACACUCUCACAUCUCUAUGCGUACUUAUUACAAGUGGGGAAAAUCCUCCUAAGGGUCAAGGUUGGUGCCGGUGUUGGGGUCCUCUUGGUUUCUUGGGGGUGACUCUGCGAGGAUGAGUGGUACUUCUUCAACAUGACUCCCCUGCUGUUGCUUCAACAUGGCGUUCUCAACAGCCAACUCAAGGUAGGCCUUCCUCAGGGCAUCUAGCUCAUCUGAGACUUGAUCUAAGUCAGUGUUGGUUUGAGCCAAGCAUGCCAAGGUGGGUCGGAUCCUAGGGUUCCCUACCCCAAGUGGUGCAGCGAUGUUGUAGGAUGUCUGACCACUCCGCCGGCGUGGUAGAUAGCGAUCUUCUUCCCAUGCAAUAUCAGCAAAGUGGCGGUCGCGGUUUACCACUAAGGCCUGCCGGGCAGCGUCCCGGAUAGCUGCUGCGCGGGUAGUCCUGGCGGUGAUCGCACGGUGGAUGUAGCACACCCGACUUCCUUCUCGGAUGUAAGCUUCAGUCUCCCAAAAACCGAUGUAGUCGGGGUGGGUCCAAUGCUCGGUGCGGUACUGUACGGUACACCGGGUGUGAUAACGACGUGCGAGAGUAAGGAGCUUCGGGUGGUAAUAGGCGUCACCAUGCAAGUCAAAAUGGAUCACCACUGUCCAUCCCUUUGCCAGAAGUGCGGUAUGGUGAUCACGGCUAUCUCCAUCACCAUCACCAUCAUCACCACCACUGCCAUGGUCGUUCGAGUCAGAGCUGUCGGAACUAUCUACAUCAUCUAGAUCACCAGCACCCUCUUGUUCAUCUUGCUCCAUGGGCUCCUCUUCGGUGUCCUCAUCUUCAACAGGUUCCUCUAUCAUGGCUUCCUCCUCAGCAUCCUCAUCCAUGGGUACAUCCAUGGUUUGUUCCUCUUGUAGCUCCUCCUCAAUGUCUCUCAGUGCCUCAACCAGAUGCGGGGGAACACGCUUGCCUAGAAUGAACCUUGUCCUCUUGUUGGGCAUGAUGACACGUUUGCGAGCUGUCCACUUGGUACGGGCCAUCUAUAAGAAAAUAUAUGAGGAUUAGAACAAAAAAAUUUUCUUAAUAGAUAUUAGGCAGAUUAUAAGCAAUAAUUUUAUAGAAAAUAAUUAAUAAAAUAAGUGCUCAAGACCCUAAGAACGUCCAUUUCUAACUAGGCUGAUCGUCCUAUAGUCAGGCUAAGCUUUGAUACCAAUUUGUCGAACCCAGUUUUGAUAACAAAACCAAGUACGCAAAUAUGUGCGCCCAGGAUGUCCAAACACACAUAUUAUCACAAAUUGUAAAUAUAUCAAUGUAAAGUACUUUAUUACAUCGCAUAUUCAACUUAAACAUCUCACAUAGUCUUGCUCAUUGGCAACAUUAUUACAUAAAGCGGAAAGCUAAGCCCUUGCUGCCACAAGGACACCAACUGGUGAACACCAGAAUUCUAGAAGUCCUGGACAUCUCCAGGUGAAAGGAUCAAGAUGCCCAAGAGGGGGGGUGAAUUGGGCUUCUCUAAAAAUUUAAGCAACCUAUAAGCUCUAAUUCAACCCCUUGUGCCUAGUGUGACCUAGAGAGCUACCGGAUAAAAAGUUUUGCAACCUAGUUCCAAUCCUAUUCUAGCAUGGCAAUUCUAAGAAUGUAAAAGCACAAAGUAAAUGCUAGAAAGUAAAGGAGUAGUGGAAGAAAAUGCUCGGCGAUGUUUUGCCGAGGUAUCGGAAAGUCGCCACUCUCCACUAGUCCUCGUUGGAGCACCCGCGCAAGGGUCUUGCUCCCCCUUGGUCCGCGCAAGGACCAAGUGCUCUCUACAGGCAGAUUCUUCGACACUCCGUCGCGGUGAAUCGCCCAAAACUGCUCACAAGCUUGACACGAGCCACCCACAAGAACUCCAGGUGGUCUUCGUACCUCCAAUCACCACCGAACCGUCUAGGUGAUGGCGAUCACCAAGAGUAACAAGCAAAGAACUCUCACUUGACCCAAACAAGGCUCAAGAGAGUGGUGGAUGCACACUUGACUCUUGGAACUCACUAGAGAAGGAUUCUCUCAAGAAAUCACUCAAACUUCAAUCCUCUCUAGGCUCUUGCAACUCUCUUGCUCCACAACAAGUUUCUAUGAUGUUCAAAUAGGCAAGAGACCUCUCAUGGACGAGGUGGAGGAGUAUAAAUACUAUCCACGAAGUCCAAAGGUCGGCCAACCGUUUUCCACUGAAAACGGGGUCACCGGACGCACAUUAUGUUGCACCGGACGCACUGCACCGAGCGUCCGGUGCUUCAUAAUGGCUACCUGAACUUCUCUCUGACAGGUCACCGGACGCUAACUCCCAGCGUCCGGUGCACCGUCCGGUGCUCGGGGGAACUUUACAAGCUCCCUGCACAUGGGACCGGACGCUACCCGGUGCGUCCGGUGCUAGCGUUCGGAGCUCAGGGAAGGCUUGCAACCUCCCUGGGUAUGGGACCGGACGCUACCCGGUUCGUCCGGUGCUAGCGUCCGGUGCCUAACCCUAAGCACCACACUGUUCCAACGACUAAGGACCUCACCGGACGCACUCAUAGAGCGUCCGGUGCAGCGUCCGGUGCCCCUUUGGGCACCCAAACUUCGUCGAAACGCGAUCGCUCCAAAACGAAGUUGGUUCCUCUCGAUCUAAGGACUAUCUCUGAGCUACCUAGUGCUAGGUUUACCAAAUGUGCACCACACCUAAACCUAAAGCCUUGCCUAAGUCAAGCUACUAGAUCAAAGCACCUCUUAAUAGUACGGUCAAAGGAAAACAAAGUCCUAAACUAUUCUAAGUGCCCUUCUUCAUCAUAUGGCACUUAGACCUUGUCUAGUCUUGACGAUGUCCAUCCAUCCUUUGAAAACCGAAAACGAUUUCCACUAUUAAGUAGGCAUGUUCGUCCCUGUCCAUCGAGUACCUAUUUACCAUGACCUUACCUAUGACUUUGCCUCUGCAAAACACACGUUAGUCAUAGUAAUCAAUAAUGUCAUUAAUCACCGAAAUCACUAGGGGCCUAGAUGCUCUUUCAAUCUCCCCCUUUUUGGUGAUUGAUGACAAUCCUUGAGUAUGAAAAGAGUUGAGGUUUUUAAAGUGACUUGGUUUCAAUAAGCAUGUUGCAAUAAGAACAACGGGAUUAGUCAUGCUUAUAUCAACCGAGUCCAAUAUCCUGCAUCCAAAUAUGUGAGAGAUAUAUGACAGGAUAUAAACAUAAGGCUCAUAAGUACAUCGGAGUACAACGCGGAAGCAAAAGGUAAUAUGAGCCAAAACACAUGACAUUAAGAUAUCACAAUAACCACAAGUCAUGUCUCACAACCAUAGUAUCUCACACAAGUGCAAUGCAUAAAAGUAAACAUGAUGCAUGAUAAAGUAACACACAUAAAAAGUAUCUCAAAAGAAUAAAACUCCUAAACACUCUCACCCUCUCUAGCUCCCCCUAACUCCUAACUAACUCUCAUAUGCAAUCUCUCCCCCUUUGGCAUCAAGCGCCAAAAAGCUAAGAAGACGGUGGAUGAGGCGGAGCAGUGGAGUCCCUCGGCACGGCCACGAAGCGAGCUGCAUCAUCUGAACUGUCGGCCGUCGAGGCAGAGGAAGUAGAGUGACCCUCUGAAGCUGCAGGAGCUGGUGAAGCGGUCCGGGUCUGCUCUGGAGCUGUCACAGGUUGUGCUGGCUGCUCGAGUCCGACUGACGAAGCAGGCACGGGCUCGGUCGCGGUAGCUGUCGUCUCAGGUACUGUAGAAGAUGGUGCAAGCUGCUCGGAUGACGCUACAGACGACGACAGAAGCUCUGUAGUGGUAACUGGCACCGUAAAGACUGUAGGGGCCUGCAGAGGAGGAGGCGUAGGGUCACCAGUCAGAGCACUGUAGGUGAAGCUGAGGUGCGGAUCUGUCUACGAGUCCCACACAAGCUGUGAUGCUGAAGCUGACUGAGGAGUGAAGCCUGAGCGGAGAGGAGUAAACUGAGGUACCUGCUCAAAGCCUGAAGAGAUAGCACCCUGAGACACCUGGUGCUGUGGCGUCGAAAAUGGCUGACUCUGAGCUGGUAGCGGGAGAGGCUGCUGAGACGGGCUCUGAGUCUGGGGCGCCGGAGUAGGUGGCCUGACAGUCGAGGUGCCUGGGAGCUGAAUCUGCGGUAGCUGGAUCCCUGAGGCGGCCAUGAGAGCGGCCAUCAUCGCUGUCUGCUGGGCCUGGAAAGCAAGCUGCUGCUCCUGAAAGGUGAGAAGCUGACGCUGGAGCUCAUCCUGCCUGGCCUGCAUGGCUGCAUUGAUGGCAGCCUGGUCCCUGUCUCACCUCGCCUGCUCCUCAGCUGCGCGGCGCUGGUCUGCCCUCAUCCCCUCUAAGAUAGCAAGCAGGGCGGGGUCUGAAGCACUCGAAGAACCGCCUGCCUCGUGGUCGUGUGCUCUGGGAGGGAGAUCUGUCACUGGCGGCUGAUAGUCAUCAUCUGAGCUGUCUGACGCAAAAUCAAACUCUCCCUCAGCCUCUGCAUCGGCGAAAAUUCCAAUCGCUAUGUCCUGCUACUCCUCUGACUCUGCAACUGCUGUUGUACUGCGGGUGCCCCUAGGAGAAGGUGGGGGCACCGGUCCACGUGGAGCACGAGGAGGAGGUGUAGCGCGAAGGUCUUGGUGCGCUCUCAACAUCUGCCUGGGGUCGUAGUGGGGGAAGACGGUGUCUGACUCUGUGAACUCCCUCUGCAAGUGAGCUGGCAGGGGCAGUGGCCUAGCACGAAGUAUAAGCAAGGUGAUCCAAUGUGCGUAGGGCAACUGAUGCUGGCCCCUGAAGCUCUCUGAGAUGGUGUCCUCUAUCUCUGAGACAAUCAGAUCCCAUAGGUCAAACUGUGUCUGAGUGAUGAGGUGAGCAACGAGCCACUGCUGAAUACGAGUGAAUCCGUCUCUGUAGCCUGUCCUAGGGAGAAGAGUCUUCCUCAACACAAAGUCGAGGAUCCUAGCUGGGCGUGUCAAAUCUCCCACUGUCCUGCUGGAGCCCUCCCCAAAAGGUGGACGGAAACAGGGAGUCACGAAGUUAACCGGUGGUACCUCACCACCGUGAGGACGACGAGGGAGAUCCACGUUCCCGUAGCACAGCUGGUGAAUCCUGGUGGGAGAGGCUCGCAGUCCAAGCACCUCUCUAGCCCUCUGAGCUGUCACUCUGUAGUCUGUCCCUGCCAGUGCGUAGUGGAUAUAACUGUGAUCUGGAGAAACCCACACUGACGCGUAGAACUCUCUGACCCACUGCUCACAGUAAGUGCUGGGGAGUGCUAGUAACUCUGGAAGUCCGUGGAGGUAGGUGAAAUACUGACGAAUGUCUGCUCCAACCACGUUCCCCAGUAUCUCUAGGUCUAUCACUCUGUGCUCCCUGAACUGUGCCUGAGAGCGAACCAGUGCCUCGUAGAUGUCCUCCUAGACGACAGUGUAGAACCUGGCACCAGCUCUGGGAUCCCUGGCAGCUGGAAACCAGGUGGGAAACGGAACGAACCUCAGCUGCUGGAUCUCUCUGGCUGACACAAGAGUGAGAUCCCUGUGGAUCCUAACUGGCCUCUGUCGUGAAGCUGGAGUGCCUCUGGCUGGUGUGGCACGAGCAGUGGAGGUAGACUGACUCUGCGUACCAGUCCGAGGAGUGGCCUGGGUACGAGCACGAGUUGACCUCCUGACGGUCUGCUACUGCUCCUGCUCCUGUGCUGGACCCUCUGCCUGGGUCUCUAUCUCAGUCUCUGGAUCCUCCUGAGCCUGAUCCCUAACCACGAGCCUAAUCCUCUGUCCUCCAAUCGUCACGGUGCCAGGAGGGGAUCCAUGGAAUGCCUCUGUCUCAAGAACUGCACGCCGCUGCCGUGGCGUGAGGUCAUCCCCAAUCCUCAGGGCACCUAAACGACCACCCCUCUCGGCUGCCUCAGCCGCGGCUGCAACUGCCUCUGCGACCUCUGUCACUGGCCUUCCGCUUCUUGGUGGCCAGCUUCUUGCCUUUCCCUUUCUCUGCCACUGACAGGCGACGGGGAGGAUCACCUCCACCAUCACCCCCUGGGGAACCUCCUGAGCCAGCUGCCGGACCACUGACGUUCUUGGUACGAGCCAUUGCAAAACAAGCGUCCGACAAACAACAGACUGACAAUGGAGAACAACGCGUUGCAGAUAAUAGACAAGAUAGGGUAUAUAUAAGAAAUUAUAACAACUAGAGGUGAGUGAACCCUAUAGAUCGCAAGAGUAGACGAGGAACGGGAGCGAAUAGCUUAAGAUCCACAAACGAGAUGCGUUCCGGAUGAAAUAUCACGAUCGGAAACUGUCAGAGAACGCGUAUCUUCUCCUUAAGGUGCCGCACAGGGUUAACGAAGAAGAUCGAGGUCAAUAACCCUUUUCUAAUCCAAUGAAACGAAACCUCAAACACCUUAAGGGCAUGAACCAAAGGACUCACCCAAACCCUUGAAAUCUCGCGAAAACAGAUCCACGCGAGAAGAGGAGGGAGGGGGACGAGUCCGCGGCGGAUCUGGCGCGAGGAAACCUCCAAGGACGCCGGAGAUUGGCGUCAACGACGGCGGCGGCGAAGUCGGCGAGAUGGCUUAGGGCUCGGUUGCGGAAGACUUCGCGAGAAGAGAAAGAAAACUAACCGAUCAAGAUCCGGGGGCGCGGGUUAAAUGCGCUGUCCGCGGGGUCACCGGACGCUCUUUAUGUGGCACCGGACGCGUCCGGUGACCACCGGACUCAUGCGCAGAGAGGUCUGCAAAUCUGCAUCGCACCGGACGAUGGGCACCGGACGCUGGCUUUAGCGUCCGGUGCUUCAGGUCACACUAGGUGAGCACCGGACGCACCUCACCGGACGCUGCAGGGACACUGUUCCUGCGUCCGGUGAGUGCAGUCUGGCACACUGUUGGGUAUUUUAAACGCAAACAGAAAAAUCCGCAAGCGCACGGAUACCGAUGUAGCCUUCACCCGGGAGUAUUCCAGAGUAUCGAUUUUCCACAGAGAACGUGAGUGUACUAAUUAAGAUCCAAGAUCGCCCAAGGAUAACUAUAUAAUUAUUUUUGGUGGGAAGAGAGGAAGUUUCCUGAGAGUUCUCUAGUUGAUCUAAGAAUCAAGAAUUACUUCAAGAUUAUCUAUAUCGGGACAUCAGAGCACUAACCACAGAAAGAGAUGAGAAGGGGGCUAGGAAGGUCUGACUACGGUCCUACAAACACCGAUCCGAACGUGGUGGAAUACGUCGACCGUUAGGGCUGUCACUACCCUAAGGCUACCACAACAAUCCGCAGGAUUGGGUGGAAUUCCAGGUAAUUGCAAGACUAAACACCACGUCUAAUCUAUUAAUUACUACUCUAGCGUUAUAAAGACUAGAGCACUUGAUGCAAGCGGGAAUCCAAUAAAUAACUUGAAUAUAAAUAAAAGUAAUUAGAGAACUCAGGAUUAUGAAUUGAAGAACCUGGAGAACGAUGAAGAACGAACCAGAUGCUGCAAAAGUAUAAUGUUGAGGAAGAUCCGACAGAUUCGGCUCCUCCUCCGCUCUCCUCUUCUCUCUCCCUAUUUUCUAGAUUAUAACUAGAACUAACUAGAACUAGAACUAGAGGAACUAGAACUAGAACUAGAUGAACUAGAACUAGAUCUAGAUGAACUAGAGGUAGAACUAGAAGAACUAGAGGGAUCCUCUCUACUUGGAUGAAGAAUUGAAACCCUAGCUUUGAUUCUGUAGAAGAGGUAUGAUCUCCAGGGGCCAGGAGGGUCUGGUUUUAUAGUCCCUUCAAGUGAAUCUGGGCCGUCGGAUCAAACCGACAUUGAUCGCACGGUUUUCCUUGAUCCUUUAGGUCGGUGGAGCGUUGUCCGCGAAACGUGUCCUGAUUGGGCACUGUAGCUGGGCGGGCGCCCAGGAGAGUUGGGCGGGCGCCCUGCCUCCGAGCUCGAUUUCCUUCCCGUUCGUUCCCGUGGCUUCUGGAGUCUUCUAGAUGAUAGAAAAUUGCGCGGCACGUUAAUAUCUCUAUGUAAACCCGACGUGUGGGCCUUUCUUCCGUAUUUCCUGAUAACCCCCUACAAAAAUAGACAAACACCAAAACUCGUGGAAUUCUGUCAGAUAAAACCCUAAGUCUAGGUGUUGGUUGCAUUUGGAUCCUUUUCCAUGAUUAAUUGAUAGUUAAUUGUGAGCAUUAAGGACCGUCAACAAGCUCCCCCAAGCUUAACCUUUGCUCGUCCCUGAGCAAAGAUGAACUCAAGAGUUUCUGCAGUGGUUUCAUAACUUAAAGAUACACAUGCGUUUAAACAAGAUCUCAUCUUUGGUUAGAGUAAACUGUUAAGACUUAAAACUUACUCAUUUACCUUUCACCAUGGGACUUGUAACCGUCACUUCUGUCUUGAGCAGUUAAAAGAUAGAACGGUCUAGUCAAGCGCCAUGUCUCUUGUUCUUCGAUUAACUAUAGCUCUAGAGUUUUUGCAGAUUUUCAAAUAAAACUCAGAGAUUCCUUGUAUGACUCUCUCUAGUCUCUCUUUUGUGGUAUUUCUGGAUCCUUACCAAGGCAGUAAAGGUGUAUGCCUUCUCUCAAAGUAUGUGGUAUUUUUGGUAUGAGUCAUAGUGACAUUGCCUUCUCUCUCACCCUACUCUAAUAAGGUUUUGAUAUCUGGAGCUCAUAGGUGGGAGACAGCUAAUACAUACUUACAAGACAUUUAUUGCAUAGUCAAACCAUGGAUCCAGAAGAACAAGUCAAUAAGUCAAAUCAAGAUGUGCAUGUGUGGCGAAUGAAUGGUGUAUGGUGAUGAUGGUGAUAACAAUGGUGAAAGUCUAAUUCUACUUGUGCUCUUUUGAGGGGAUACAUACCUUUCUUGCUGUUUUGAAACUUUUUGAGGAGAAUGAGAUGCUCUAUAUUUUCUUUUUUUUUCUUUUCUCUCAGGUGGGUAUCUUGUACCCCUAAUUCUACUGUCGGACACUUGUCCAUUUUUACCUCUCGUCUCACUUUUUUUUCUUUCGAGGUUCCGGGCACUUGCCCCUUUUUAUUUCCUUGUAUUCACUUUUUUUUUCUCUCUCUCUUCUUUUUUUAGAGCACUCAUCUCAUGAGAUAAUAUAGCAAGUGGUAGUAACCAAGAUAACUUGAGCAUUUAUUUCAAAGGGGAAAACAGAAAUAUUUUUGGCUAUUCUCUCCCAGAUUAGGAGUAGAAUAUUUUUGAGUGGUUGUGGAGAUGGAAAUGAGUGGAUGUAUGUGGAUGCGUAGAAGCAGCAUGUGUGAGUGAACGUGCAAAUGAAUCUUGAUUUAACCACAUGACAAGCUCCUAAGGGUCUACACAGCUUGACCACACUCAAUGCUCAUAAGCAGUAAAAAGUAAAUGUGUGGCUCAUAGUCUAGCAAGCAUGUAUAUAUGGCUGUGGUAGAAAUUUAAACUCUCAUCAUACAGGAACUCAUCAUGCAACAAUUUAAAGAUUUUCAAAGACAAAAUUCUCCAGAAUUCUAGCAUCUCUAGGAAUAGAUAAACAGCAGCUCAACCUUCCCAUAUCAUAUCCGUUAACGACUUAGAAGUUAUAUCAAAUACUCUUCCCACAAGUUCAGGUUUAGAGCAAAUCUUAAUUAAUAACAGUCAUGCCUAAACUUGAGAGAGAUUUCAAUUUUGAGAACUAGUCAUGACAGAGCAACUAUUCAUCAUUUCCAAGUGAGAGCUUAUCAUGAGGGUUCAUAGCAAAUUUUAUUUAUUUAUUUAUUUAGCAAACUAAGAAAAGAUAUAUAUGCACAAAAUCUUUAUUUAGGUUUAUAUGAUUAUGCAUCUUUUUAUUAUUAGAGUAAAGUAUAAACGUGAGUAGAAUACUUAGCUGGAUAAAUGGGGGUGCUCUCCCCUAAACUGGAUUUGACGCAAUUUCUUCUAAUGUAGCUAGCAGGUGGCGGAGGUGUAUUUGAAUGUCGGCAGCACCCUGACAGUGAUUAGGAUGCCCUCCGUCUACUAGUCUUCUUUGAUCCUUGAAUUCUGUGGAGCUCAAAUAGACAACAAAGCUUUGUGGAACUAGUUAAGUGUUAGCAUAAAUAUCUAGCCUUUAUCAUGUUGAGCCUCCUCAAUAAAUGUUACUCUCUUUAGUAGGAUCAUAAAUUUAUUUUUAUAUUUUCAUUUAUAUAGGACAGGAAUAUAUAUAUUUAUUUUUACGCCACCACAGUGAAUGUACUUAUGGGUUUUAUGCCAUGAGCAUACUCACAUGGGGCUUACUAUUUUUAACAUUUUUAUUUUCUUUUCAAGAUAGCAUGAACCUGGUUAACUAAGCAAACUAUUUUAAAUAAUUGAAAGGAAAAGGAUAACUACCAAGUUUACCUCUUGGCAAGGCGUUCGGUGUUUUUAAGUCCUCCGAACGAGACUCUCUGUUUUCUCAAUCGUCCUGGGAUUCGAUGGAUGGCGUAGUCGGUGGUUCCGGCGGUGCCUGGUCUUCGUGUAUAACUAUCUUCUCUCUCCACACCUGACUCGGUGCUACGGUAUCCUCAGGACAGUUCUGUUCAAGCUUUAUGUCUUCAGACCUUACAACUUCUCCUUCAUAGUCUACCCAUCCGUCCUUGAUGAUUUUGCCUUCUCUGGUUACGGUUGCGUCGUCUUCUUCUUGUCCUGACCUGCUUAGAGUCGUCAACUAUAUAAUUAAGGUCAGUAAAAUAGCGGCGUACCUUGUUAGAGGGCAAGUUCAUGUGGACUUCUCCGGUUCCAAUGUAGAUGAUUGCUUUAACGGUGCUGAGGAACGGUCUCCCAAUGGUGAUGGGUGGAUUGUACUCGUCUUCUCCCAUGUCAAUAACCUUAAAAGCAUCUGGAGCUGAAUGUAUGUUGGUUGUAGGGACAUGGUUCUAUGCAGGAGCUGAUAAGUGACUGCGGCCAUUAUGUUGACGUUAGAUCCGGUGUCGUAGAGUGUCUUCUGAAAAGAAUAUCCGUUGAUUGUGCACUCGAUGCUUGGCAUGCCUGGGUCGUCCUUUUUGGUCAGGAACGGUGACUUAAAUAGAUGAUCUUGACCUCCUUGAACUGCAGUGACCAUCUUAGCUGACUCGGUCCACACUUGCUUGUUCCUGUUCCUCCUGUUGGUCCUCUUCCUUGGUUCAUGUCGGAAAUGCUCUGAGAUUUGUGUAGUUUUGUUCUUGAAGGAAAACAUCUCCUUCUUCCCCUUGAUGUAGAAACUGAUCUUGGCAGCACUAGUGUAGAUGAUAGCUCCCAAGGUGUUCACGAAUGGCCUCCCUAGGAUGAUGGGUGCCCUCUCAUCAGUAUCAGUCUCUAUCACCACCAAGUCUAUUGGAGCGUAUAAGAUACCAACUCGGACGUAGAGGUUCUUCAAUAUUCCCUUUGGGAAACUUAGUGUCUGAUCUGCAAGCUGCAAACACAUGGUUGUUUCUUAUAAAGGAUGUGUAAAGAAUUUUUCAUAGAGUACCCUGGGCAUAAUGUUGAUGCUGGAGCCAAAGUCACAGAGUGCUUCUGGGAAGUCCACCAUGCCGAUGGAGAUCGGGAUGACAGGGCGUCCUGAUUGUCUCUCUUGACCGACAGAAAUUCAGUAAUUACUUCCACAAUGAGGUUACUCCAGUAGUUACAUCCUCAAGCAUCUCAGGGCAGUGUUUGCAUGAGUGUCCAGUAUCUCCAGCGUGUUUGUGCUCAUAGAUCGAUGUUCUUCACUUUGGUGGAGUCUGGGAGUUGUAAAACUCCUUCAUAUUUUGCUCAAAGUGUACCUACUCAUAGAGACAAGGCAGAGAUCAAGUGCAUGGGCCCUGUUGGUGGAAAACACCAACAGAACCAAAAGUGUAUUUGCUCUUCUCUAUCCUUAAGCAUAGUGAGCAAGACAAAGUUGAUGGAUAAUAAGAUCAUAAGUGUAGCAUUUAAAAUAUUUGUCAGAUCAGAUCACUCAACCUAAUGGAAAGAUAAUCUAUCUAUACAUAUGUUUUGUUUAUAUCUUCCAAAGAUUGAGUGUGCAACAUUUUAGCUUAUAUGAUUAGGAGUAUGGGAUCACAAAGGUGGAAGGUCUAAACAUGUUGAAUCGAUUAGGUUGGUUAAUCUAGAGUUGUAAAUCAUACAUGUUUGUCUCUUUUAUUCAUGUGAACGCCAGAACAAAGGAGAAGCUUAUAAAAGUGAUAGUCAAGUACCUUAAGAUGUUACCUUACUUGAAGAGUGAUGGUACAGUAUCACCUUGUGGAAGCUUUCCUCUCUUAGCGGUUGUGCAUCGUGUUUGUGGCACCUCCAUGGAUCAUCUCUUGUGAGCUAUGCCUUCCUUGUGUAAAUUGUUAAACUUCAUGUGUGUCUCUCUUUGUCUCCAAUGUGAGUUUAUCUAAGGACUUUCCAGGUCGAUAUUGAAAGUUUUCCUACAGGGGUUAGUCCAACAAAAUAUACCAAUGUCUACACAAGCAGUUUUUAGUUCAAUAACCAAACUAGACUCCAUGUCUAAUUAGAUUAAGGAAGGCUGUUUAACCUAAGCACCAUGCUUAAUUUAAAAACCAAUAGAAGUAUGUACAGUACUUCCAAACUAACACUUACUAGGAUAAACAAAGGUAGCGUGAUGGCUUUUAUAGAGAUCUAUUCAAGUGGAGAUGAAGUAGUGUGAUUAGUAUUUAACAAAUUGAGCAUGUCUCAAAGGUAGGGACAACCAACAUAGCAACAUGGCAAAGGAUGUUUUUAAUGUAAAGUACUCCCCCAAGCUUGAAUUUUGCAAAAUUCAAGUUUGGAUGAAUUUAAUUCAAUGUUGUAUGAUGAUUGGUUGGACAUACCUUGUGCUUGUCAUUCAUCCGAUCUUCUUGCUCCAAUCCUGAAAAGGUUAGUGACAAGAAUACCCGAAGGAAUUUUUUACAAUUAUCCUUAUAUGCUCAAUACACAAGGUAAUGUUGUAAAUAAUUAAAAGCUCAUGUUACGAUCUGAUCAGUGCUUAUUUUAGGACACUAAGCUUGUCCUUGGGAAACCAUCAAUUUAUGUCAGUGAAGUGGUUUCCCCUCCAACGCUGACCUAUAUCAAGAUCAACUCAACGAGAUCUGCAAUAUUUAAUAUAGACAUAUGCAUCGACAACCGCCCUUUUAAAGUUUUUAUGAAUAGAAAGGAAGAGGGGGUUGGAGAUCUCAAAUGUGGUGAUGCUGAGAGACCAAUGGAUUGUGAAGAUGUUGCAUAUAAGCAUGGAGUAAAUGAAGUGGCUAUGAAAUAAAUUCCAUGCUCAUUAAUGCUUAGAGUGAAAUCCAUGUGGUAUGGUGAAAGUGAUAAGGUGAGUGUGGUAAAAAAAGAAAAGAAAAAGGAUACACGGACGACUUGGUUCGAAACUAGCACAACUACCAUUCCCCGGCAACGGCGCCAGAAAGCUUGUUGGGCAUUUUAAACGCAAACAGAAAAAUCCGCAAGCGCACGGAUACCGAUGUAGCCUUCACCCGGGAGUAUUCCAGAGUAUCGAUUUUCCACAGAGAACGUGAGUGUACUAAUUAAGAUCCAAGAUCGCCCAAGGAUAACUAUAUAAUUAUUUUUGGUGGGAAGAGAAGAAGUUUCCUGAGAGUUCUCUAGUUGAUCUAAGAAUCAAGAAUUACUUCAAGAUUAUCUAUAUCGGGACAUCAGAGCACUAACCACAGAAAGAGAUGAGAAGGGGGCUAGGAAGGUCUGACUACGGUCCUACAAACACCGAUCCGAACGUGGUGGAAUACGUCGACCGUUAGGGCUGUCACUACCCUAAGGCUACCACAACAAUCCGCAGGAUUGGGUGCAAUUCCAGGUAAUUGCAAGACUAAACACCACGUCUAAUCUAUUAAUUACUACUCUAGCGUUAUAAAGACUAGAGCACUUGAUGCAAGCGGGAAUCCAAUAAAUAACUUGAAUAUAAAUAAAAGUAAUUAGAGAACUCAGGAUUAUGAAUUGAAGAACCUGGAGAACGAUGAAGAACGAACCAGAUGCUGCAAAAGUAUAAUGUUGAGGAAGAUCCGACAGAUCCGGCUCCUCCUCCGCUCUCCUCUUCUCUCUCCCUAUUUUCUAGAUUACAACUAGAACUAACUAGAACUAGAACUAGAGGAACUAGAACUAGAACUAGAUGAACUAGAACUAGAUCUAGAUGAACUAGAGGUAGAACUAGAAGAACUAGAGGGAUCCUCUCUACUUGGAUGAAGAAUUGAAACCCUAGCUUUGAUUCUGUAGAAGAGGUAUGAUCUCCAGGGGCCAGGGGGGUCUGGUUUUAUAGUCCCUUCAAGUGAAUCUGGGCCGUCGGAUCAAACCGACAUUGAUCGCACGGUUUUCCCUGAUCCUUUAGGUCGGUGGAGCGUUGUCCGCGAAACGUGUCCUGAUUGGGCAUUGUAGCUGGGCGGGCGCCCAGGAGAGUUGGGCGGGCGCCCUGCCUCCGAGCUCGAUUUCCUUCCCGUUCGUUCCCGUGGCUUCUGGAGUCUUCUAGAUGAUAGAAAAUUGCGCGGCACGUUAAUAUCUCUAUGUAAACCCGACGUGUGGGCCUUUCUUCCGUAUUUCCUGAUAACCCCCUGCAGAAAUAGACAAACACCAAAACUCGUGGAAUUCUGUCAGAUAAAACCCUAAGUCUAGGUGUUGGUUGCAUUUGGAUCCUUUUCCAUGAUUAAUUGAUAGUUAAUUGUGAGCAUUAAGGACCGUCAACACACACUCACCGCACCGGACGCACAGAGGCAGCGUCCGGUGCUCCUCUGAGCACUUUUUCAACUAAGUACCACGUCCGACUUUGACCCAACCAAGUUCCAUCUUCAAUAACACACAAAUAAACACCAAAUGGAAUUGGUAUGAGUGACUUCUCUCAAACCCUCAAAUUUUCACAAAUAUUUAGCCAUAGGCUUAGUAGUUUUUAUGAAAAUAAUUCGAGAAAAUCACCAAGGAGCAUCAUAUGGCCAUAAAGCUUGGGGUUUAAAUCACAAUGGGCUUUGAAUGCUCCCCCUAUCUAAGGACGAACACAGCGGAUGCUCAACGAACAACCGAAAAGAAACGGUCAACUAACAAGCAUGCAUAUGAUAUGAGUUGUAAUGCAAUACUUGAAAGUAAACUAAUGCUUGUCAAGUUUGAUCCAAGGUUAAGCUUUUUCACACACACAAGGGGGUUAUCUUAACCAUGUUAGACAAGCCCUAUAUGCAAGUUGGAUUUUAGUUUUAGUAUGCAUGAUAUGCCAAGCAAAAGUUAUUUACAAGAUUCAACACACAACUUUUUAUCUCUUAAUGAAGUUGGAUAGGUCAAGCACAUUAAGUUCAUUUCUCAACAUACAAAACCUAGCUUCAUCUAGGGGUUUUGUGAAGAUAUCCGCCAAUUGAUUUUCCGUUCCCACAUUCUCUAGAGAUAUGUCACCUUUAGCAACAUGAUCCCUAAGGAAGUGGUGGCGGAUGUCAAUAUGUUUUGUGCGGGUGUGUUGAACCGGGUUGUUUGCAAGUUUUACAGCACUUUUGUUGUCACACAACAAAGGUACUUUGUCUAGUACUACUUCAUAGUCUAGCAAAGUUUGUUUCAUGUAGAGUAUUUGUGCACAACAAGCACCGGCAGCAAUGUAUUCCGCCUCGGCCGUUGACAAGGCAACACUAUUUUGUUUCUUUGACAUCCAAGAGACAAGUGAUCUACCUAGGAAAUGGCACUCUCCGGAUGUGCUUUUUCUAUCAAUCCGGCACCCGGCAUAAUCCGAAUCGGAAUAGCCUACAAGUUGGAAUCUUGCACCUUUGGGAUACCACAAGCCUAGGCAAGGUGUGUAUUUUAGAUACCUAAGAAUUCUCUUGACCGCGAUCAAGUGAGAUUCCAUAGGCAUUGCUUGAUAUCUUGCACACAUACACACACUAAACAUUAUAUCGGGCCUAGAUGCGGUGAGGUAGAGUAGACUUCCUAUCAUGGAGCGAUAGAGAGUCUUGUCAAUUGGGUUACCUCCCUCAUCCAAGUCGAGAUGCCCAUUUGAUGCCAUGGGAGUCUUGAUUGGCUUGCAAUCCAUCAUCUUGAACCUCUUGAGAAGAUCUUGAGUGUACUUCUCUUGAGAGAUGAAGACCCCUUCCUUCAUUUGCUUGACUUGAAAUCCUAGGAAGAUGGAUAGCUCACCAAUCAUGGACAUCUCAAACUCCUUGGACAUCAAAUCACCAAAUUCCUUGCAAAAAUCUUCAUUAGUAGAGCCAAAAAUAAUAUCAUCAACAUAAACUUGGCAAAUGAAGAUUUCCCCAUUCAUUUUCUUGGUGAAGAGUGUUGUGUCAACUUUCCCAAUCUUGAAGCCCUUCUCAAUGAGGAAGUCCCUAAGCCUCUCAUACCAAGCUCUAGGAGCUUGCUUGAGACCAUAGAGAGCCUUAGAUAACCGGUAGACAUGCUUGGGGUACCUAGGGUCUUCAAAACCGUGGGUUGCUCAACAUAGACAAGCUCAUUAAUAUAUCCAUUUAAAAAGGCACUUUUCACAUCCAUUUGAAAUAACUUGAUAUCAUGACUAGAUGCAUAUGCAUGUAGGAUACGGAUUGCUUCAAGUCUUGCCACCGGUGCAAAGGUUUCACCGAAGUCAAGACCUUCCACUUAUGAAAAGCCCUUUGCCAUGAGCCUUGCCUUGUUGCGCACCACUUUGCCUUGAUCAUCCUUCUUGUUCCGGAAGACCCACUUUGUUCCAAUCACUCUUGCAUCUUUUGGUCGCUCUUCAAGUGUCCAUACUUGAUUGCGCGAGAAGUUGUUCAACUCCUCUUGCAUGGCCAUGAUCCAAUCCGCAUCACGAAGAGCUUCCUCUAUAGUUUUUGGUUCAUCUUCAAGAGACACAAAAGCGUGAUGUUCAAUAAAUAAAGCAUGUCUAGAACGAGUAGUUACACCACGUGAUGGACUCCCGAUGAUGAGAUCUUGAGAGUGAUCUUGGAGGAGAUGUGAUGUUCUUCUUGGUGCCACUUGAGGGAUUGGUUGGGGAGCAUCAACAUCUUGUGCUUGUGCCACCGCUUGCUCAUGAGUGACUUGUGUGUCUUCAUGAGCAUCUCUCACAUCCUUGUCUUCAUUUUGUGGACCUUGUGAGGUGGAUGGUGGCUCAAUGACUUGUACAUCAUUAUCAUCUUCUUUAGGCUUGAUGUCUCCCACGGGUAUGUUCUUCAUCGCAUCCCUCAAUGGUUCCCCACCUACAUCAUCAAGAUUAUCACUUGCUCCUUGGGAGCCAUUAGUUUCGUCAAAUUCAACAUCAAAAGUUUCUUCAACCAUGUUUGUGGCAUGGUUAAAGACUCUAUAUGCCUUGGACUUUGAUGAAUAGCCAACCAAAUAGCCAAUGUCACAUCUUCUUUGGAAUUUUCCCAAGUGUUGGCGCUUCUUGUAGAUGUAGCAUUUGCAUCCAAACACUCUAAAGAAUGAGACAUUGGGCUUCUUCCCAUUGAGCAACUCAUAUGGUGUCUUCUCUAGGAACUUGUGAGGAAAGAGCCGGUUUGAAGCAUAGCAUGCGGUGUUGAUUGCCUCGGCCCACAUCUUCUCCGAAGUGUUAUACUCAUCUAGCAUUGUUCUUGCCAAGGUGAUCAAUGUCCGGUUCUUUCUUUCUACAACCCCAUUUUGUUGUGGUGUGUAUGUUGAGGAGAACUCAUGCUUGAUUCCCACUUCAUCACAAUACUCUUCAAUGUUGGUGUUGUCAAACUCAUUGCCAUUGUCACUUCUAAUUUUCUUGAUCUUCACAUCAAAUUGAUUUUGGGCAUUCUUUGCAAACUUCUUGAAUAUUGAUGCAACUUCAGCUUUGUCUUGCAAGAAGAAUGUCCAAGUGUACCGAGAGAAAUCAUCAACUAUGACCAAGCAAUAUUUGUUGCCUCCAAGACUAGCAUAUGUGGUUGGUCCAAACAAAUCCAUAUGAAGUAGCUCAAGCACUAUUGAAGUGGAGAGAUAGGCUUUGGUUGGAUGAGUGUUCGCAACUUGUUUCCCCGCUUGACAUGCACUACAAAGCUUGUCUUUUUCAAAUGUCACAUCCUUCAAGCCUCUAAUCAAUUCUUUCUUCAUCAACUUCUUGAGUGUGCCCAUUCCAACAUGUGCUAACCUUCUAUGCCACAACCACCCAAGUGAAGUCUUGGUGAAUAAGCAAGUCUUGACAUCAACUUCAUCGGAUGAGAAAUCAACUACAUAUAAGUUGUUGUGCCAGAAGCCUUUGAAAAUCACUUCAUUGUCAUCUUCCUUGGUCACAAUUACUUCCUUCUUCUUGAAUAGGCAUUCAAAUCCAAGGUCACAUAAUUGUCCAACCGAGAGCAAGUUGAAACUCAAAGAUUGCACAUAGAGCACAUUGGUGAUGGAGUUGUCAUUUGAUAUAGCAACCUUUCCUAGUCCCUUGACUUUUCCUUUUGAAUUGUCACCAAAUGUGAUCUUCUCUUGGUUGUCAACAUCUUCAUCAAGAGAGGUGAACAUCCGAGGAUCUCCAGUCAUAUGUUGAGUGCAACCACUAUCAAUUACCCAAUGUGAUCCACCGGUCUUGUAGUUCACCUACACACAAGAGAUCAAGCUUGAGAUUUAGGGACCCACAUUUGCUUAGGGCCCUUGACCUUCUCUACUAGUUGCUUUGGCACCCAAAUCUUCUUUGGCCUUUGCUUGUUGGGCGGCCCCAUGAAGCUAACCUUGACCUUGCCACACUUGUCUUUUGUUACAAUGUAAUGAGCAUUGAAGGAAAAUGGUCUUGCAUGCUUGGGCAAGGGUGGUGGUAGUGGUGCCUUACACUCAUGAGCAAAGUGUCCUUCUUGACCACACUCAAAGCAUCUCUUUGGCUUUGGCUUGCUUGGUUGAUCAUGAGUGGCUAGAGACUUGAUGAGCUUUGUUUGAUGACCUUUAUAGCCAAUCCCACUAUUGUCCAUCUUCAUGACGGUGUUCAUGAAAAGCUCACUUUGAAGGUCUUUCCCUUUGGUGAACUUUGCUAACCCCAUGGUUAAAUGUUCCUUCUCUUUCUUGAGCUUGUUGUUCUCUUGAGUUAGCUUCUUGAUGAUUGGGUCAUUGUUGCUAGCUAACUCAUCCAAGAUGAAAGUUUCAUCUUCUUCUUGCUUGUCAUACAUCAAACCAAGCUUGAGAUAUUGAUUUUCUUCCUCGAGCAACUUGUUCUCAUAUGCAAGCUUCUUAUCUUGGUCAAGUGACUCAAUCACAAUGGUCUUGUGCUUGACUUGUUCUUGCAACUCUUUCUUGAGCUUGACAAUUUCAUUCUUGAGCUUGAUAGUGUCCUCAUAGCUCUCGGCCACUACCACUUUCUUGCCCUUGCAAUCAACACAUUUGCUUGUGCUCUCCACAAGUAAGUCAUCACAAGAUGUGGCUACAUCAAGCUUAGCAACAUUGUUAGUAGCAACAUGUGUUUCAUCAAUUGCAAGUUCAUAAGCAAUCUCAAGGUUGUCAUAGUUUGCUUUUAGAGUUGUUAGCUCUUCUUUCAUUGCUCUAUAUCUAGUGAUAAGCUCAUCAUGAACACUCUCAAGUUUAUCAUGUUUUUCUUUGAGCUCUUUUAGAGAGAGUUUGAGCUCCUUGAGCUUGGUGGUCAUGAUCUCAUUUUGGUCUCUAAGCUCAUCACUAGAUUUAAGCUUUGCUAGAAGAGUGUCAUUUUCAAGUUAAAGCUUUUCAUUUUCACUUCUAGUUUUUCUUAUGACUUUUGUGUACUUGUUUAGAAUUUUACAAGUUCAUCAUAAGAAGGUGAUUCAUAUUCACUAUCACUUUCACUACUCUCAUCCUCACUUUGUACCUUCCGGUCACCCUUAGCCAUAAAACAUAGGUGUGUAGAGGAUGUAGAUGGUGGUGAAGAUGAUGGUGAUGGAGCAUCGAUGGCAAUGGCGGCAACCUUCUCAUCAUCACUUUCAUUGCCGGAGGAGUCACCACUUGAGCUUUCAAUGUCGGUGAGCCAAUCACCAACAAUGUAGGCCUUGCCAUUCUUCUUCUUGUAGUGCUCCUUCUUCUUGCCACCUUUCUUCUUGUAUUGCUUCUUCUCAUUCUUGUCAUCAUCAUUUGAGUCAUCUUGCUCUUUGUUCUUCUUUUUGUACUUGUCCUUCUUGGGCUUUGGACAUUGACGAGCAAGAUGACCAAGCUCACCACAAUUGUAGCAAUCCAUCUCGGAGAUGGGCUUCCUCUUGCUACUUGUGAAGAACUUCUUCUUCUUGGAGUCAAAGUUGACUCCAUUCUUGUUGAGCUUCUUCAACAUCUUUGUGGUUCUUCUCACCAUGAGGGCAAUAGAUGCAUCAUCAUCACUUGAAGUUGAUGACUCAACUUCAUUCUUCUUAGCCUUGCCCUUGUGAGAAGCCUUGAGAGCCAAGUCCUUCUUCUCUUUCUUGGCCGAUGAGGAGCCAUCUUGGGGGUUCAUGUGCAUGUACAUCUCAUGAGCAUUGAUCUUUCCCAAUAUGGCGGUUGGUGUAGCGGUGGAAAGAUCUUCUUGAUGAAGCACCGUUACUAUGUGCCCAUAUUUUUCAAUGGGAAGCACACAUAGUAUUUUCCUUGCUACAUCCGCCGCAUUCAUUUGAGUGAGUCCAAGUCCAUUUAGCUCCUCUACAAUGACAUUCAAGCGAGAAUACAUUUCAUUAGCAUUUUCUUUGGGAAGCAUUUCAAAAGUAUUAAGCUUGUUCAUCACUAAGUGAUAGCGUUCCUCGCGUUCACUCUUUGAUCCCUCAUGGAGCGCACAAAGUUCCUUCCAAAGAGCAUUGGCGGUUUUGUGGCUCCGAACGCGGUUGAACACCUCCUUGCAAAGGCCUCUAAAGAUGUGGUUUUUGGCCUUCGCAUUCCACUUCUCGUUUUCUUGCUCUUGUGGAGUAAGAGCGGUGGCUCUUUCCAGAGGGGCAAACCCUUCGGUCGUGGCUUUUAGGCACUUUACAUCGCAUGCCUCAAGGUAUGACUCCAUCCGUAUUUUCCAAUACGGGAAGUCAUCCCCAUCGAACAUGGGUGGCGGUCCAUCCCCGUUAGACAUCUUUCUCUAGGCGGUGAAGCCUAAAUAAUGAGCACUAGGCUCCGAUACCAAUUGAAAGGAUCAAGAUGCCCAAGAGGGGGGUGAAUUGGGCUUCUCUAAAAAUUUAAGCAACCUAUAAGCUCCAAUUCAACCCCUUGUGCCUAGUGUGACCUAGAGAGCUACCGGAUAAAAAGUUUUGCAACCUAGUUCCAAUCCUAUUCUAGCAUGGCAAUUCUAAGAAUGUAAAAGCACAAAGUAAAUGCUAGAAAGUAAAGGAGUAGUGGAAGAAAAUGCUCGGCGAUGUUUUGCCGAGGUAUCGGAGAGUCGCCACUCUCCACUAGUCCUCGUUGGAGCACCCGCGCAAGGGUCUUGCUCCCCCUUGGUCCGCGCAAGGACCAAGUGCUCUCUACGGGCUGAUUCUUCGACACUCCGUCGCGGUGAAUCGCCCAAAACCGCUCACAAGCUUGACACGAGCCACCCACAAGAACUCCGUGCGGUCUUCGUGCCUCCAAUCACCACCGAACCGUCUAGGUGAUGGCGAUCACCAAGAGUAACAAGCAAAUAACACUCACUUGACCCAAACAAGGCUCUAGAGAGUGGUGGAUGCACACUUGACUCUUGGAACUCACUAGAGAAGGAUUCUCUCAAGAAAUCACUCAAACUUCAAUCCUCUCUAGGCUCUUGCAACUCUCUUGCUCCACAACAAGUUUAAUUCUCUGAUGUUCAAAUGGGCAAGAGACCUCUCAUGGACGAGGUGGAGGAGUAUAAAUACUAUCCACGAAGUCUAAAGGUCGGCCAACCGUUUUCCACUGAAAACGGGGUCACCGGACGCACAUUAUGUUGCACCGGACGCACUGCACCGAGCGUCCGGUGCUUCAUAACGGCUACCAGAACUUCUCCCUGACAGGUCAUCGGACACUAACUCCCAGCGUCCGGUGCACCGUCCGGUGCUCGGGGGAACUUUACAAGCUCCCUGCGCAUGGGACCGGACGCUACCCGGUGCGUCCGGUGCUCAGGGAAGGCUUGCAACCUCCCUGGGUAUGGGACCGGACGCUACCCGGUGCGUCCGGUGCUAGCGUCCGGUGCCUAACCCUAAGCACCACACUGUUCCAACGGCUAAGGACCUCACCGAACGCACUCACAGAGCGUCCGGUGCCCCUUUGGGAACCCAAACUUCGUCGAAACGCGAUCGCUCCAAAACGAAGUUGGUUCCUCUCGAUCUAAGGACUAUCUCUGAGCUGCCUAGUGCUAGGUUUACCAAGUGUGCACCACACCUAAACCUAAAGCCUUGCCUAAGUCAAGCUACUAGAUCAAAGCCCCUCUUAAUAGUACGGUCAAAGGAAAACAAAGUCCUAAACUAUUCUAAGUGCCCUUCUUCAUCAUAUGGCACUUAGACCUAGUCUAGUCUUGACGAUGUCCAUCCAUCCUUUGAAAACCGAAAACGAUUUCCACUAUUAAGUAGGCAUGUUCAUCCCUGUCCAUCGAGUACCUAUUUACCAUGACCUUACCUAUGACUUUGCCUCUGCAAAACACACGUUAGUCAUAGUAAUCAAUAAUGUCAUUAAUCACCGAAAUCACUAGGGGCCUAGAUGCUCUUUCACCAGGGAACUCCUCAGUACACACAUCUGUUACCCAUCCGGGAUUUUCAUUGAAAUAUAAACAAGUGUAAGCGCACCAUGCUUAGCAAGUAUAACAUCGAGGUAUAUAUAGGCUCAAAGGCUUGACUCAGUUUAAUAGCGAUUAGCAUUUUAGUUGGUCAUAUUUUAUUACCCAAGACUUGUUACUUUUAAUGAGAGACCAACCCUGGUUACAUAAGUGUUAAUCAAAGUUAUUACCUUUCCCAAGUAUAGCCAAGUAACCGCUAACCAAGAAGGAUCCAGGCCGCUCAUGACCGAGAGCUCGGCUGUUAUAACAGGUUUAGAUUUCUGCAGAAAUUGUACAACUUUACCCCCGAGCCGUGGUUCCCUAGUGUUGGGGUUUGCAAGGCCCACACCACUUCUACCGAGGAAGUGUGACCAGGUUCCAUUACUUAACCUUUCACUAGUCACCCUAACAAUAUAGUAGCCGCGAGGUUUCAGUGGCAAGUGUGCAUAGAUGGCCUCCUUCAAGAGGCACAUGUGGUCGCGACACUGUACACACCCAGGUAGGAGUGACAUCUAUACACCACGAGGCACCCCCCUCUAGCGCCUUUCGGUAACUAAUAAACUGCUAGAGACAUACUAGUUAUAUGAUUAAGGUCAGAGCCAUUUGACUCUCGGGAUUGUACGUGACCUCCUGGGUGGCCGCUUCAGGAUUAAGUCCUUAUGGAGAGGAAUCUAGAGCUUGCAAAACCGAAGCUCUAGCCCCCUGAACCAAGUUACUAGAACAUAUUUUAUCACAUUGCAUAUACCAAUUAAUCAGGUUAAUUUAUUAACUUGGGUUUUUCAGCGUAGCAGGAACUACCUAAAUAAAUGCACACCUUCCCAUGGGUAUCAAGGAUUUGUGGUACAAAAUUAUCUAGGUAAAGUCCUUAUAGGUAUUUCAAUUUAGACACAUGCAUAUGUAUGAAUUAAAUAAUAUUCAUAGGUACAAGGAAGCCUAUAUUACACUUGCCUUCCUCAAAAUUUUCCUCCUGGUAGAGCUCCACAAACUGCUCCUCAACCACUCCAACCUGAUCUCCUUCUAUUAACGAUCCAAACACCAAUCAAGCAUCCAGUCCAAUCAUCACAUGCAUACAAAUAAAGUUCUAUUAGAACAGUACACCAAACAGUAAAAACAGUGACUGAAAGAUAUAUAAAUCUACUCUACGCCUUUCUACGAACACAUGACCGAAAGAAUCACUCUAAUCGGACUUAAAACGUGAAAGUUAUGCAUAAAACAAAAUGAAUGGCAUUUAUGUGAAUAAACUGAAUCAAAAACGAAUUUAAAAGAACUAAAACUAAAUUUCCAAUGGUUCUAGACUACGUGCACUAUUAUAUAAAAGUAUAGGGUUUAAAACAGAAGAAAACAUGAUUAAAAAGAAAUACUUUUGAACUAAGUUGGACUGCGGGUUGAUUUGCUUGAAACAGGGGGGUUAAAGCGCAAAACUCCCAGUGGUCCGCGGCUGACCGCGCUGCUGGCCGGCAGAGGGGCCACGUGGCGUGCUGGGGUUGGCUCGGUCCACCACUGUGCGCGUGGACCGGCCGACCGAGCGCCCGUGGACCGCGCCCAUGGCCCACGGUGGACCGGUUACAUAACUCCGAAGGGGUAUGUAAUCUGGGCCGUUAGAAACAGAUCGGAUGGCCCUGGAUGAAAGGAGGCGGGGCGCUCGCCUGAGCCGAGGCUGACCAUUGCGGCGCCAUUGCCGCCGACGAGGUGAGCUCCUCGGAGCUCGCCGGAAACACGUUCCCGGCCACGCCAAAUAAAAAGGAGACUACCACGGUGACCAGCGCGACGAGGCGAACACGAUAGGGUAAAAAGAAAGGGCGGGGAGCACGUCGGGACGACGGCCCCGUGGUGGCGCCACUUCCACACCCUCGGAGAGCCUCGGAUUCGGUGUUAGAGCGCCCUAAAUUCACGAUUAAAGACAUGGGGAGCAUCGGGGCUAUACCGUGGUCCCGUUGGAGGUGUUCGCAGCGUCCGAGAAAACUCCGAGCGGCGUGGCCACGAGCGAGGCGGGCUGGGAAGAGAGAGACAGCGAUGGUGAGCUCGGUUUCGACCAAAUCGUGAAGAAAGGUAGAGGGGAAGUGUACCUACGGCCGCGGUAUCGCCAGGCGAAUGUGUUGUGCACGUUCGCAGCGUCCACCGUGCCCUUAAGACGGAGAAUUUGGGGGGGUUGAGCUUGGUUCACGAACGGAAGGAGGAAAGGAGAGCUCGGCCGCGAGCUUUAUAGGGCGAGCAGGGGCACUGAGGGGGCGAACACUCGGGCGAUUAAGCCCGGCAUCAAGGCGGCUUGAAGGCCGAUUGAUGGCCUCCAUCAAUCGGAGCUUGAAGGCUGGGGGGAAAGAAGUGAUGGCGUUGAAUGUCGCCGUGCUCUCGGCUCAGCGAGGAAGAAAGGGGAGACGCUGACAAGCGGGCCCCACGGCGCAGUGAGAGAGAGAUGGGAAGGGAGAGCGCCGAUAGGCGGGCCCUACUGCGCAGUGAGAGGGAGAAUGGGGAGGGCGCGCGGGCUGUCCGCGUCGGAGCGGGCCGCGCCACUGGGCUGUGUGCGCGUCGCGGGCGAGGGGCGGGGAGCUGGGCCGCCAACGGCCCAAGGCCAGGGGUGAGCGCGGGGUAUAGCUGGGCCAGGGUUUGGGGCCGGGCCAAAAUCGGUGAAGGGGAUAAAAAUAAAAGAGAAACUCUUUUAUAUUUUUCAGAGCUGUAAAUUUGUAUAUAUUCUAUCAAAUUGAUUUUUAAACCAAACAACCUAGUCUUACCAUCAAUCAAAAUAUGAUGCACCAGCAUGAAUGCAGCAUUUCAUGUUUCUAGACCUUAUAGUUUAUUUUAAAUAAUUCCAAAAAUUGUUAUUUUGCCUAAACAAUUCUCAAUAAUUCCUAUAAUUAUGCCAAAUUAAAUACUAAUUUGAAAAUAAAUUUUCAGAGUGUUACAUGCGGUGGCACACAACGUUCUCCCAUAACAUAACUAGCGUUCUUGGCGGGCACGUGGUUAGCGUACCUGUAGAAAACUCAUUUCAGCCCAACUAUAGUAUGAACAUGCAGAGCAAGAAUUUAGAGCUAUACACCCCACACACAUAGACACCACAUCCAUGCAUAUGGUGUGUUACUACCCACAUCAUCGCCCUAGUGACGACAUCGCCUCUUAGGACAGAAUCUCCCAACAUGCGGUACUGCUCCCAGGCACACCAAACAUGCGUGCAUGAAACAACCCUAAUAUCACUUCCCUAGAUCGGCAGUGUAUCCGAUCAUGCUCUCACAGCUCCCACUUACCGAGGCGUAGAGGAAAAAUUGAUCCAUACAUUACCACUCAAAUGAAUGGCACUCAUACUAUUGCACGCCGUAUGAGCGACGAAAAUAUAAAUAUGAUGCAUAACCCCCAAGUCAGUACUUAACUAGCCACCUUAGAGUCCUUAACUGGGCAUAAAAGAUAUGACCAUGGCACACCGUGUAGUUUUCCAAAAACUCAUUUUAACACCUCGAUUAUCAUUAAUUGCAUAGUUAACUUUUAUUAACCGGUUUAAGUUUAGUUUAGAACGUACUUAUGAAAAGUAACUCGCUAAACCUUGCUUCGAUGUCAGCUGUAACAGAACCGCCCAAAUUAUAAGAGAUUAAGCCUAAUGGUGACCAUUUGCACAGUCGAACCAUCGAGCUUAAGCCCAUAUAAUCCCGGUAGUCCGUGAAAUCUCGAAGGAUUUCAAACCACACACAUACAUACAACUAGGAUCGUAAUAAGUUCAGCGGUCAGUAUUCACAAUUACAUCCAGUUUGUAGCAUUCAUCACAUUACAUCAGAGUUCAAUAUAGUUAUUACAAACCAAGUUCUCAAGUAGUGGAAGCUCAUAGUUUUGAAAUAACACACACACACACUUAGAUUGAUACAGUGCCAUUUUGGAUCAUUUCCACAAAAUCAAAAGAGGAGGUAGAGUGACCAUCGCCCUUGGUCUAGUCAUCACCCAUCGCUGGGUACAAGCAGUGAAUGCAAUAACCAUAGUACAUCUGCCCAUCUGCAAAACAACAUGGGAAUAGAACCCUGAGUACGAUAAUGUACUCUGCUAGACUUACCCGUCAUAAACCAAAGACUGUUCAAGGAUCAUGAGGGCUGUAUAGUGGGGUAGCUGAGUCCUUUUGCAAAAACGCACUACUCAACUAGAAGUACACACUAACAAUACCCCUUCUUCUUUUAAUUAGCUCAGGUUAAGUGUUAUUACAUAUCUUCUAGAUUUGCACAUGUACUAUUGCAAACAAGUGUUGCGAUAUGAUGGUACCUCAUCAUAGCAUUCAUAAAUCAUUACUCAUCAUAACCCAAGUGUUUCAUAGUCCUUAUUACGAGGAUGAAGCUCAUGUCAAGUUCUCACUAUCCAGGAGCGAUGGCAAUUCGAAUCGAUUUCUAACCAGGUGGCGAGUUAUUCCCCACACAAACCACACUCACUGAUCAGUGAGCUACAGAUCAACGUAUUACACUAUCUAGGACCAAAUCGCGGGUUCAGCAGGCACCCCCAGUACCAGAGGACCCUUCUUGCGACCGAGGUAUCCAUGGUACACCAAGGUUGCACGCCCUCGUCGUUCUCCUCAACCAUCACUAAUAUAGCGCAUGGCGGCUCGACUCCCAGCCUGGAUUGUGUUCAGGCUUCGCAGUCGGAACGACUUAUCCUUCCAGCUAAGUGUGGGGCAUGCGUUCAACAUGACAAGAGGGCCAUCAAUGAUCGGUCCUUAAUCGACACAGGUAGGGGCACUACAGUCAACUCCACCAUAAGACCCUGUCCGGUCUCAAGUUCAUUCCCACACUUGGUUACUUUUCCUCAUAGCAUUAACAGCUAAUUAAACAGGUGUCCACCUAUAUCUCGCAGGUGACCGAAAAUCAUCCAACUUCUACCGUGCUAAGCAAGCUAAGCAAAGACUCCGAGCCUAUCUACAUAGGACAAGGUCGAUAAAUAGGUGGUAAUAUCAAGGAGUAAGUAUGCAUCAACGGUAUCAAGCAAUUCCUAUCACAUAAAUGCAACAUAGUAGAACAAUCAUAAUAUAUCAAUUAAGUUAGCGAGAAUAGGGAGACUUAGAAUGCUCCGGGGCUUGCCUUUCUCGAACGUGCUAGGCUUCUGGUCCGGGCACUCCUACAGCUCUCCUUCCGGCUCGAGUCCUCUCGGAAGUUCCUGCUCCUGGGUCUCCUCUUGCUCCUUGGGUCCCACCUCGUUCUCCUGCGAGCCUGUAUGAUGCAUGUGUGCUCAUGAGCGGAGUGCGAGAUGCCCGAGGUGCAGUGCUUAUGCAAGUGGGUACCAGAUGCUCAUGACAUGGUGCAUAGUUGACAUAGGUGAUUAUUUCUACAAGGUAGUCAACAUCAUCCAAGAACAUGUACUCAAAUUAAGCAUCUAUUGCAUUCUCUUCUACAAGUUGUUUUCAUGGUUAACCAGCAAGCUAACAUGAUGCUUCAAAGAUACACCAAACACCCUUUAUUCCAUUUAACUUAUGCAUAACAAAUCAUACUUUAUUUGAGUUAUUAUUGGGCCUACAACAGUAGCAUGUACUUCUGCUUAUCAAUAAAUUCUACAAAAAUUACAGUGGAUUACUGGUCAAGCAUAAAGUCUACCACAAAUUUUUGAUAAUAUUUGGACACUCAGUUUGGCCUACAAAAAUUACAAGAUUACUCAAUAUAAUUCAGUAUAAAUACCCUACUGUUGACCAAGUGUCAAACAACAGAUUUCAUAUUUUUAUAAAUUACUUACUAGCAUAAGAAACACCCACAAAAAUUUCCAAAUUAAUUGCAUGAUCUAAUUAUUUAUUAAAAAUCAUCAACCACUGCCAUGCAAGCAAUUAAAUCAUCAUAAUUUAAUUUAUACAGCAAAUAUUGGGUGACAUAUUUUUCCCAGAAGCUAAACAUCCAUGCACAGCUAACAAAACAAGUUUCACAUUUUUCUGAGUCAUAUUCCAAUUAUUGUGCAUUUUCUAAAUAUCAGCAAAAACAUGGAUUAAAUACAUUUGUACAGAAAAGUUGUUCAACCAUGACAUGCAAUUACACCAAAAAGAUAGAUAUUGAAUUAUAGAACACACCAAAACUUAUUUCAUCGUUUUUAGAGCUAUGGAUCUCAAGAUAUAGAUUUAAUACCAUCUAAAUCAUUUUUUGGAAUAUCUUUUAAAACAAAAAUCGACUUAAAACGCUAAGUGCACCCGGAUUCAAACCCUUAGAGGCGCUGACAGGCGGGACCCAUGAGUCAGCUGACCCCACUUGUUAGCCACGCCGUGACUCCGCGGCCAAAGAUCGGCUAGAAUCUCACCGCCGGUGAGGUCUCCAGCGACUGCGGGAGCACCUACGGCUUCGCGAGAGCGAGACGAGCCUAGCCGUGCCCUUUUUGGCACGUGACGAGCACUGGAACUACCUCGCCGUCGAGAAUGGUGGACGCGGCGGUAGAGCGUGCGCUAGCGACGGGGAAAGAUGCGCAAUGCCAAGGCGAAGCUAACGGACCUACGAACGAAAGCAAUGGCGGAAAGGAGAGAGAGAAACGCGUGAGCCGAGAGGUCGUCGGAGCUCUGACUCACUCCGGUGAGCUCUACCGGACACGCGGGGCUUACCGAGCGCGGUUGAGCGCGAGCACGGGGUGCGGAAUGGCGAGACGGACUCGCUGGUGCUUCCGGAUGGGAGGGAGGAGGCCAGAGCUGGCAAGGAGAAAAGCUCCGAGCGUCGGCGACAAUGGCGCGCGGCGGUGCGGCUGCUACUACGCGCGAGCAGAGGGGCGUGUCUGGCAGCGGGGACGGAGGCGGACGCGGCCGGGCGCACCUGGUGGCCGACCAGGGCGCGUCCAAGCCGCCGCAUGCGCGCCACGCGGCGGCCGAGCUCUGUCGGCUCGCCACGGCGGCACGGCGCGGCCGUCCGCGCGCGUGGACACGGCGCUGGCGCGAGCGCGGGGAAGGGGGAAGCACGGGCGCGGGGAGGCCGGGCCGGCUUCGCUGGCUGGGCCGGUUGGUUGGCGCCGGCCCGCCAGUGAACAGCCCCCCUUGCCCUUUUUUUUAAUUUAUUUUUCCCAAAAAGCUUAAAUGAGAUUUUUUAAGCUUUUGCACACUUUUUCAGGGGUUGAAGUAAAUAGAAGCAUUGUUCCUCACAAAAUCCUCUACAACUUUGCUUUAAGAUGCAAAUCCAAAUUCCAAACAAAAUUUGAAUCACAAAGCAAAACUAGUUCUAGGUUUUCAAAUAAAUUCAUUUUAGGGAUUUUUGUAUAAUAUCCAUUUCUCAAUUUCUAUAGCUCCAAAAAUUUCACAAAAUUACUCUUAAUUCUUCUAAAAUAUAUUUCAACCUAUUUUGGGCAUCACAAGGAUUUUUGGAAUAAGCAUACUAUUUUUAUCAUAUUUAAUUCACAUAAAUUAAGCACAUAAAAUCAUACUUGAAUUAAUGCCAUGCUCAUGUGAUGCUAUGCUUAAUGAGAAUGCUUAGGAAAGGGUUUAUGAGACUAAGUGCAUGCUUAACACCUAGGGUAUUACACUGGGCGCCCGCCCUCAUCAUCAGGGCGCCGCCCUGUGCGUGGCCCCGUUGUGGGCCCGCUUCCUUGAGCAUGCUUCUAGAUGCAAACUUUAUUUGAAAAAAUAUAUAUGUGGUCCUAAAACGUCAGAUUAAAAAGAUCAGGCUCUAAUUCUCCAUGGGAAGGUAAAAAUGGAUCACGUCUAUCUCUUCUAAUUCUUUAUUAGGCUCAAAAAAUAAUUUAAGACAUUGACCAUUUACCUUGAAUAAUGUACCUUCGUCAUUUUGAAGUGUGAUAGCUCCGUGGGAUGAUGAAUUGAUUACCUUGAAUGGUCCUUCCCAUUUACUCUAGAGUUUUCCAUGCCCGAAAAGCUUCACCCUAGAAUUAAAAAGUAAUACCUUAUCUCCUGGUGCGAACUCCUUCGUCUUGAUCCUCUUGUCAUGCCACCUUUUGACUCUUUCUUUGUAGAUCUUCGAGUUGUGAUAUGCUUUCUCUCGCCAUUCUUCCAAUUCUGAUAGUUGCAUUCUUCUAUGAUCUCCAGCAACAUCUAGGUCCAUAUUCCAUCUCCUUAUGGCCUAGUGUGCUUAGAAUUCUUGUUCAACAGGUAGGUGGCAAGUUUUCCCGUACACCAAUUGGUAUGGGGACAUUCCAAUUGGGGUCUUGUAUGCUGUCCGGUAUGCCCAGAGUGCAUAAGGUAACUUGUCCUUCCAUGCCGUUCCCAUCUCAUUGACUGUUUUCUGAAGAAUAUUCUUGAUUUGCUUGUUGGAAGUCUCUGCUUGGCCACUUGUCUAAGGAUGGUAGGGAGUAGCGACGUUGUGACGGAUUCCAUGUUUUGAUAGAUAGUGCUUGAAGCAUUUGUCGAUGAAGUGUGCUCCUCCAUCACUUAUCACUACUUUGGGAACUCCAAAUCUUGGAAAUAUGACUUCUUCAAACGUCCUCUUUGAACUGAUGUUGUCGGCGUGUUUGCAAGGUAGUGCCUCUACCCACUUGGAGACGUAGUCAACUGCCACCAAGAUGAACUCACACUUCUUUGAUGGGGGAAAUGGACCCAUGUAAUCUAUUCCCCAGACAUCAAAGAGCUCAAUCUGAAGGUUGUUGGUGAGUGGCAUGGCAUCCCUUGUGUUUAUGUUUCUGUGCCUUUGACAUGGCCCACAUCUUCUGAUAUAUUGCUUCGUGUCCUCAUACAUUGUAGGCUAGUAGAAUCCACACUGCCAGAUCUUUGAAUGUGUACGGAAUGCUCCAUAAUGACCUCCAUAUGAUGAUGAAUGACAUCUAUCAAUGAUCUUCCAUCCUUCCUCGGUGGUCACACAUCUCCUGAGUAAGCCAUCAGAGCAUACUCGGAACAUGUAUGGCUCAUCCCAUAUAUGUGAACGACUUUCUUGAAUAAGCUUCUUCUUGUUCGCUCCUGGUGGUACAUACCCUGAAACCAUAAAAUUAACAAUAUCUGCAUACCAGGGGUCAGACCUGUUAAUCCCGUAGAGCAUGUCGUCCCGGAGUGAAUCAUUGAUGGGGGUGUCCUGUGGAUUCUUAAAAUACAUUAUAGACAAGUGAUCAGCAACAGAAUUUUCUACUCCCUUUUUAUCUUUUAUUUCCAUGUCAAAUUCUUGAAGUAAUAAGAUCCAUCUAAUCAGGUGUGGUUUAGCAUCUUUUUUAGUGAGCAGAUAUUUUAGUGUAGCAUGAUCAGUGUAAACAAUUAUUUUAGCUCCAACUAAAUAAGAUCUAAAUUUAUCAAUGGCAAAGACAAUGGCCAGAAGCUCUUUUUUAGUGGUUGCAUAAUUAAGUUGAGCUCCUGUCGAAGUUUUACUGGCAUAAGCAAUUGCAUGAUGCUUCUUAUUUUUAGUUUGUCCCAAAACUACCCCCACAGCAUUGUCACUAGCAUCACACAUAAUUUCAAAAGGCAACGACCAGUCAGGGGGUUGAAUGAUUGGUGCAGAGAUGAGUGCAUUCUUUAAUAAAUUAAAAGAUGUUAGGCAUGCAUCAUCAAAUUCGAAAGGAGCAUCCUUGGUUAGCAAAAGAGUAAGUGGUCUAGCAAUGAAUGAAAAAUCUUUUAUGAAUCCACGAUAAAAACCAGCAUGGCCAAGGAAGCUUCGAAUUCUUUUUAUAUUCACGGGUGGAGGUAGUUGUUCAAUUACUUCAAUUUUAGCUUUGUCUACCUCAAUACCUCUUUCAGACACUAGGUGUCCAAGCACUAUUCCUUCCCUAACCAUAAAAUGACAUUUUUCCCAAUUGAGGACUAAGUGCUUUUCUUCCCACCUUUGCAAAACCUUGUCUAAGUUUUCAAGACAACUAUCAAAAGUUUUUCCAUAUACAGAGAAAUCAUCCAUGAAAACUUCCAUAAUCUCUUCAAUCAUAUCAGAAAAUAUAGACAUCAUGCAUCUUUGAAAAGAAGCUGGUGCAUUACAUAACCCAAAAGACAUUCUACGGUAAGCAUAAGUUCCAUAUGGGCAUGUAAAAGUGGUUUUGCUUUGAUCAUCGGGAUGGAUCGGGAUUUGGUGAUACCCUAAAUAUCCAUCUAAGAAAUAGAAGAACGAAUGGUUCACUAAUCGCUCUAGCAUCUCAUCUAUGAAAGGAAAAUCAUCAUUUUUCAUGACUUUGUUCAGUUUUGUAUAGUCUAUGCACAUCCGGCACCCUGUGACGGUGCGUUGCGGAUGUUGACACUUGCUAACACCACUUGAAUACUAGGUUGUCAUCCCCAGCAUGACACUAGAGUGUACUAUGGUAUUUAUACGCGCACAGAUAAUCCACAAGCGCACGGAUACCGUUAUAGCUUUUACCCGGUUAAAGGUUUUAUCGUAUCCACAAGGAAACGGGAGAACCAACUACGCUCUAACUUAACCAAGAUAGAUAGAUAGGUGUGAAUAGGAAAGAUGGUAGAAUUGAAUAAGAACAAUAUUAAAGGUAAGAUAACAAUGGGUGAUAAUAUGGGAAUAGAGUAGAGCAAUUCUAGUAUAUGGGCGAUGGUAGCAGAAUAGAGAGAAUAACUAUGGUUUCUCUCUUUUAAAGGGGUAUGUCUAUGUCUGGGACGAACCACGUGAUAAGAAUACACCACAAAGGAUGCUUAUCCAUAGGCCGAUAAACCCUACCCGUCCUGCUAACAAGAGGUGGACUACAGGGGACCAACGUAACUGUCACCUACGCGGCCUACCACACGAUCCAGCUAGACAGGGGAUAUCCACAAGUAAUCUAGGUCGAAGCACCACGCUUACACCUAUACUACAACUCUCACCUAUAGCAUCCUAUAGAUUAGAAGUACUCAAAAGAGUUGUGAACCAGAACAUACAUGAUUAGUAAUUGCAUAAUGAAUUAGAAGUAGAUUACCAGAGUCAUCCCAUGAGCAAGCUUGAUUAGAGCUUGAUCAUGGCGAAGUACAACCAGAGGAAGAACCGACAGGCCGGCCUCUCCUCCAAUCCUCCCUCGCUCUCCAUCUUGCUACUAUCUAGAUCUACUCUAGUUUAGAGAAGAGAGGAGAGCUCUCAUCUCCAAACCCUAGCUUUUGCUCUGUCUAUGAAUAAUGAAUAAUGAUCAAGGGGGUGCCUCCUCCAAGGGCAAGGGGGUCUGGUUAUAUAGUCCCCUCAACUGAAUCUGGGCCGUCGGAUCAAACCGACAUUGAUUGAAUGGUUAUCCUUGAUCCUUUAGGUCGGUGGAGCAUAAUCCGCGAGAUUGAGCGUGAUUGGUUGAAACUCCAGGGUGGGCGCCCAAGGGGGGAGGGCGGGCGCCCUGCCCCCGAGCCCGCUCGGCCUCCCGUUUGUUCCCGUGGCUUCUGGAGUCUUCUAGAUGAUAGAAAAUUACGCGGCACGUUAAUAUCUCUAUGUAAACCCGACGUGUGGGCCUUUCCUCCAUAUUUCCUGAUAACCCCCUGCAGAAAUAGACAAACACCAAAACUUAUGGAAUUCUGUCAGAUGAAACCCUAAGUCUAGGUGUUGGUUGCAUUUGGAUCCUUUUUAUUUAUUUGAUGAUUAAAUUUGAUACUUAAGGACCGUCAACAAACUCCCCCAAGCUUACCUCUUGCUCGUACCGGAGCAAGGAUGGACUCAAGAGUUUUUACAGUGGUUUUAUGCCUUAAAGGUACUCAUGCGUUCAAACAAGAUCUCAUCUCUAGGUUAAGGUCAAUUGUUAAGAUUUAAACUUACUCAUAUUACCUUCCACCAUGGGCCUUGCAACCGUCACUUGUGUCUUGAGCGGUUAAAAGAUAGAACGGUCAAGUCAAGCACCAUGUCUCUUGUUCUUUGAUCAACUAUAGCUCUAGAGUUUUUGAAGAUUUUCAAAUAAAACUCAGAGAUUCCUUGUAUGACUCUCUCUAGUCUCUCUUUUUUGGUAUUUCUGGAUCCUUAUCAAGGCAGUAAUGAUAUAUGCCUUCUCUCAAAGUAUGUGGUAUUUGUGGUAUGAGGCAUAGUGAUAUUGCCUUCUCUCUCAUCCUACUCUAAUAAGGUUUGAUAUCUGGAGUUCAUAGGUGGGAGACAGCUAAUACAUACUUACAAGACAUUUAUUGCAUAGUCAAACCAUGGAUCUAGAGAAACAAGUCAAUAGGUCAAAUCAUGAUGUGCAUGUGUGGCAAAUGAAUGGUGUAUGGUGAUAAUGGUGAAAGCAAUGGUGAAAGUCUAAUUCUACGUUUGCUCUUUUGAGAGGAUACAUACCUUUCUUGCAUUUUGAAGAUUUUUGAGGGGAAUGAGAUGCUCUAUAUUUUCUUUUUCUUUUCUCUCAGGUGGGUAUCGUGUACCCCUAAUUCUACUGUAGGACACUUGUCCAUUUUUACCUCUCGUCUCACUUUUUCUCUUCUUCGAGGUUCCGAGCACUUGCCCCUUUUUAUUUCCUCGUAUUUUUAUUUUUUUCAGAGCACUCACCCUCCUGGAAUAAUGUAGCAAGUGGUAGUAACCAAAAUAUCUUGAGCAUUUAUUUCAUAGGGAAAAACUGGAAUGGGAUAAUGUUUUUGGCUAUUCUCUCCCGGAUAGGAGAAGAAUAAUUUUGGGUGAAUCUGGAGAUGGAAAUGAGUGGAUGUAUGUGGAUGCGUACUUCCGGAGUAGAAGCAACAUGUAUGAGUGAACGUGCAAGUGAAUCUUGAUUUUAACCGCAUGACAAGCUCCUAAGGGUCUACACAGCUUAACCACACUCAAUGCUCAUAAGUAGUAAAAAGUAAAUGUAUGGUUCAUAGUCUAAUAAGCAUGUAUAUGUGGCUGUGGUAGGAUUUUAAACUCUCAUCAUACAGGAACUCAUCAUGCAACAUUUUAAAGAUUUUCAAAGAUAAAAUUCUCCAGAAUUCUAGCAUCUCUAGGAACAGAUAAAUAGCAUCUCAACCUUCCCAUAUCAUAUCUGUUAACGACUUAGACUUUAGAUCAAGUACUCUUCCCACAAGUUCAGGUUUAGAGCAAAUCUUAAUUCAUAACAGUCAUGCCUAAACUUGAGAGAGAAAUCAAUUUUUGAGAACUAGUCAUGGGAGAGCAACUAUUCAUCAUUUCCAUGUGAGAGCUUAUCAUGAGGGUUCAUAGCAAACUUUAUUUAUUUAUUUAUUUAGCAAACUAAGUAAAGAUAUAUAUAUAUAUAUAUAUAUAUAUAUAAGCAUAAAAUCUUUAUUUGGGUUUUUUAUGAUUAUGCAUCUUUUAUUUGAGUAAAGUAUAAACGCGAGUAGAAACACUUAGCUGGAUAAAUGGGGGUGCUCUCCCCCAAGCUGGAUUUUGACGUAAUUUCUUCUGAUGUAGCUAGCAGGUGGUGGAGGUGUAUUUGAAUGUCAGUAGUACCCUGACAGCGAUUAGGAUGUCCUCCGUCUGCUAGUCUUCUUUGAUCCUUGAAUUUUGUGGAGCUCAAAUAGACAACAAAGAUUUGUAGAACUAGUUAAGUGUUAGCAUAAAUAUCUAGCCUUUAUCAUGUUGAGCCUCCUUAAUCAAUGUUACUCUCUUCUUGCUCCAAUCUUGGAAAGGUUAGUGACAAGAAUACCCGAAGGAAUAUUUUUAUAAUUAUCCUUAUAUGCUCAAUACACAAGGUAAUGUUGUAAAUAAUUAAAAGCUCAUGUUGCGAUCUGAUCAGUGCUUAUUUUAGGACACUAAGCUUGUCCUUGGGAAACAAUCAAUUUAUGUCGGUGAAGUGGUUUCCCUUCCAACACUGACCUAUAUCAAGAUCAACUCAACGAGAUCUGCAAUAUUUAUUAUAGACAUAUGCAUCGACAACCGCCCUUUUAAACUUUUUUUAAAUAGAAAGGAAGAGGGGGUUGGAGAUCUCAAAUGUGGUGAUGUUGGAGAGACCAAUAGAUUGGGAAGAUGUUGCAUAUGAUCAUGGAGUAAACAAAGUGGCUAUGAAAUAAAUUCCAUGCUCAUUAAUGUUAUCUUCGUCUCCAAUCUGAAUGUUCGGAGUUUCUCCUAGAUUGGUCUCACCUAUGUCCUCUUCUAUAGUUGGAUGAAUCCCAUCUUCAAAGGGAGUCAAGAACUCACCAUUUGAAAUUGAUCCAAAGUUAGAAUCCAUUAAGGCUUCUUCCUUGUCCAUCCAUUCUACACAUUCUAGCCAUUUAGAACUUGUGAUCAAGAUAGGGGAGCUGUUAGAAUUUUCUAUAUGGCUUAGCUCUCCUAUGACAUUACUUGACAUGUCAUCCUCAUAGUCUUUAUGAAUCCUAUGGUUUGAUUGUCUUGAUGGAUUGCUAGGAUCAUCAUGAGACUGGAAAGGAGAGGGAUAAGAGGGGCCUCUAAGGUCAAGGAUGGAUUUAGAAUUUGUGAACAUUGAAGGGGAGCAGAUAGAGACUUCUAUAUGGUUUAGCUCUCCUUCACUUGAUAUGUCAUCCUCGACUUCUUCAUAAUAGGAACCAGGACAUUCUCUAAGAGAACCAUUAUUGCAAGGAUUUGAAUUAUCCCUGCUUGAAGGUCUCUUAUGGAACCAGAAGUCUAAACCAUUAGUAUCUGAAAGAUUUAAGGUCGGAAUUCCUUCCUCCCUUGGAGAAUUUUGGGGUAUUGAUGGUUUAGGAUCGAUAGCUAAAGUUUGGAAUUUAAGUGGUUGUGAUCUGGCUAUCGAAACUUCUUCUUCUUGUCUAGGAACUGGUUCUUUCUCUUUCUCAGGGAUAUAAAAGCUAGGAGACUUUCCGCUCAUUAAAUCAAUCAAAUUCCAAGCUUCACUAGCAGGUAGGUGAUAGAAAGAUCCUCCGGAGGCUGUAUUCAAUGUUUGCUUAUUUUCCAUACUAAGGCCCUCAAAAAAGUGAAUUCGAAGAACUUCUUGUGGAAUAGAAAGCUUUGGGCCAGUGAGAGUAAGGUUAAUAAAGCGGUCCCAUGAUUUUCCAAGAGAUUCUUCUUCCAGUUUUCUAAAAGAAAUAAUCUCACGCCAAAGUUCCGCCACUUUAGAGAUUGGAAAAUAUUUUAAAAGAAAACUAUUAUGUAACUCCUUCCAAUCUCUAUGAACACUCCAUACUUUGAGUUUAUACCAAUAUCUAGUUGUUCCUAUUAAAGAGAACGGAAAGAGCUUCCAUUUAAGGGUCUCAUUGGACAUGCCUUCUAUGCGAAGGAGGUCACAGACUCGAUAAAACUCUCUUAGGUGUGUGUAUGGGUUUUCCUCACCUUCUCCUGAGAAAGGUUGUUUUUGAACAAAUUCUAUGUAUUCGGGGUCUAUCUCAAAACUAGAUGCUAUGAUAGGCUUUGAAUAUUUUGGUGGUUCGAGAUGUGUGCCCGUAGGUCUAUGAAAUUCAUAGAUAGACAUGUUUGAAUUCAUGAUAGACCAGAGAUCAAGGAUUAGAUAAGAAGAAAGAAUAGCAGAGAUAAGGCACAGGAUAAAAGGAAAAAUAUUUUUUUAUUUUUUUUAGAAAAUGAUUAAGCUAGUUCGUAGUCAACUCAGCAACCGUCUCCCCGGCAACGGCGCCAAAAAUGCUUGUUGACACUUGCUAACACCACUUGAAUACUAGGUUGUCAUCCCCAGCAUGGCACUAGAGUGUACUAUGGUAUUUAUACGCACACAGAUAAUCUGCAAGCGCACGGAUACCGUUAUAGCUUUUACCCGGUUAAAGGAUUUAUCGUAUCCAUAGGGAAACGGGAGAACCAACUAUGCUCUAACUUAACCAAGAUAGAUAGAUAGGUGUGAAUAGAAAAGAUGGUAGAAUUGAAUAAGAACAAUAUUAAAGGUAAGAUAACAAUGGGUGAUAAUAUGGGAAUAGAGAGUAGAGCAAUUCUAGUAUAUGGGCGAUGGUAGCAGAAUAGAGAGAAUAACUAUGGUUUCUCUACUUCAAAGGGGUAUGUGUAUGUCUGGGACGAACCAUGUGAUAAGAAUACACCACAAAGGAUGCUUAUCCAUAGGCCGAUAAACCCUACCCGUCCUACUAACAAGAGGUGGACUACAAGGGACCAACGUAACUGUCACCUACGUGGCCUACCACACGAUCCAGCUAGACAGGGGAUAUCCACAAGUAAUCUAGGUCUAAGCACCACGCUUACACCUAUACUACAACUCUCACCUAUAGCGUCCUAUAGAUUAGAAGUACUCAAAAGAGUUGUGAACUAGAACAUACAUGAUUAGUAAUUGCAUAAUGAAUUAGAAGUAGAUUACCAGAGUCAUCCCAUGAGCAAGCUUGAUUAGAGCUUGAUCAUGGCGAAGUACAAUCGGAGGAAGAACCGACAGGUCGGCCUCUCCUCCAAUCCUCCCUCGCUCUCCAUCUCGCUACUAACUAGAUCUACUCUAGUUUAGAGAAGAGAGGAGAGCUCUCAUCUCCAAACCCUAGCUUUUGCUCUGUCUAUGAAUAAUGAAUAAUGAUCAAGGGGGUGCCUCCUCCAGGGGCUAGAGGGUCUGGUUAUAUAGUCCCCUCAAGUGAAUCUGGGCCGUCGGAUCAAACCGACAUUGAUUGAACGGUUAUACUUGAUCCUUUAGGUCAGUGGAGCAUAAUCCGCGAGAUUGAGCGUGAUUGGUUGAAACUCCAGGGCGGGCGCCCAAGGGGGGAGGGCGGGCGCCCUGCCCCCGAGCCCGCUCGGCCUCCCGUUUGUUCGCGUGGCUUCUCGAGUCUUCUAGAUGAUAGAAAAUUGCGCGGCACAUUAAUAUCUCUAUGUAAACCCGAUGUGUGGGCUUUCCUCCAUAUUUCCUGAUAACCCCCUGCAGAAAUAGACAAAUACCAAAACUUGUGGAAUUCUGUCAGAUGAAACCCUAAGUCUAGGUGUUGGUUGCAUUUGGAUCCUUUUCUUUAUUUAUUUGAUGAUUAAAUUUGAUACUUAAGGACUAUUGUUGGGUAUUCUUAACAUCAUUACCAAAAGUAGACAAUUUUCUAAUUCUAGUAACGGUGCCAAAAAUGCCAAACCUAUCCCUCAUACCACUUAAGCCAAGUUGUCAUCCCCAGCAUGACAUGAGAGACGCGGUAUUGAAAUAUGCAAUUGCUCUUCUAAAUAAAUAAUGAAUGGGAUCUGCAAGCGCACAGAUUAAUACCGAUGUAGCAUUUUAACCGGGAAGUAUUCCAGGUAUCGUUAUUUAUAUUUUUACCACUGGGAAGGGAUUAACAAUCAUCAAUAUUGAUUACAGAAUAGAAUAUGAGAUUGAGUAUCUAUCAUUGCAUGUAUAAUUGAGAACAUUUAUAUAAUUCUUUCAUAUAGGGGUAAGUGUCACAUAAAAGAUAUAUGAAGUAAUGAAUAGUGACAAAGAUAAUUAAUCUGAUCAUACUUAGCCACAUAAUAAAUAUGAUAAGCACCUCAAUUAGAUACUCUAGAAAGUCAUUUGCAUGGUAUUAGAACGAACUACAAGAAUAUUCCCUAAGUUAUUCUCAACUAUGUAGUCUAGCAUUAUCAUAGUUAGUGCAAGCAUACUUAGCAAUCAUUGCGAGACAAGACUACGCCCAUGCAUAGUGAUAUUAGCAAGGUAAAUGAGAAACAUAGCAAUCGCUCCCCUGUAAUAAUGUUGCUCUGCCAGCCCAAUACACGAGAGGGGGACUAUAUAAAAAUCAAUGAAGUUGUCACUAUCACGAACUACCCCACGAUCUGGCAUAUUGGGUACAAUCGCAGAUAAAUACGGUAUAAGCACCACGCCUACACAAUAUCUAUCAUUUACCCAUGGAUCCGAUGGAUAAACGCUAUACGAUCCUAAGCCUGUAUAUAGAUCCAAUCUAACUAAGCCAAGUACAUAACUAUGAUAAACUAAGAACAAUAUAAUCUUGAAUAUAAGCAAGUAGAGCAAAGUCAUAAGCAAUAUAUUGAAGUAGAACAAAGUCAUAUUCAUAAUAUUGAAGAACAAAGAUAAUUAUAAAGCAAUUAGAAGCACAAUUAGAGAAUUACCAAGAAUCCUCUUAACAGAUCCGGAAACCAAUCGAAGAUUGACUCCUUCUAGUUCUAAGCUAUGCUAAUCUAGAUGUCUAAUUGAUGUGGUGGCUCUAAUCUUGAUCAGAGGCUUCUUCUCCCUUGAGGAAUAAUGAAUUAGGGUUAAGAGGCUCUCUCCUCCAGGGGCCAGGGGGUCUGGUUUUAUAGUCCCUUCAAGUGAAUAUGGGCCGGUGCAUCAAACCAACAUUGAUUGAACGGUUAUCCUUGAUCCUUUAGGUCGGUGGAGAUCUUCCCCGAAACAGAGUCCUGAUUGGACUCAGCAGGAGGGCGGGCGCCCAGGUCCUGGCCCCGUUCGGCCUCCGCUUCCUUCCCGUGGCUUCUGGAGUCUUCUAGAUGUAAGAUAAUUGCGUGGCACAUUAAUAUCUCUAUGUAAUCCCGACGUGUGGGCCUUUCUUCCGUAUUUCCUGAUAACCCCCUGUAGAAAUAGACAAACACCGAAACUCAUGGAAUUCUGUCAGAUAAAACCCUAAGUCUAGAUGCUGAUUUCAUUUGGAUCAUUUUCUUUGUUUAUUUGAUAAUUAAAUUUGACACUUAAGGACCGUCAACAGCCGUCAACAGCGGAAUUAGCUCGUUCUUUUCAUUCGUAACGACAGUCAUGCCUCCCUUUUUAGGCACAACUUGAACUGGGCUCACCCACUCACUGUGCAGCACAGGAUAUGUAAUCCCUGCAUGUAGCAACUUUAUAACUUCCUUUUUAACUACCUCUCUCAUCGUGUUGUCAAGUCUAUGUUGGGGCUCCCGAGAAGGUGAAAUAGAAGGAUCUGUCAGAAUAGGAUGGGUACAAAUCAUAGGACUGAUUCCUGUAAGACCUUGGAGUGAGUAGCCAAAAACUGAGUGAUGUUUCUCAAGAAUGGUCAUCAAACACAGAGUUUGCUCCUGAGUGAGUUUAUUACUAAUGAUCACAGAAAACUCUAGAUUAUUGUUUUGGAAAGCAUAGAUAAGACCGGAUGGUAAAGUUUUAAGCUCUAUGGGAGGUCUAGGUGUUUUUGCAAACUCAUCUAAGGGUUUAGGUUCAGAAGGUUCGGCCUCUUCUUCUGUGAUGAAAGGAGCUUCUUCUUCUAAGUCUGGUUCUUCUAAAAGCUGUAAAGAUGCAAGCUUUACCUCCUCCAUAGGAUCGGGCAAAAGGUAUGACUCAGUCUUAUUAUUUAGGGAGUGUGAAAUCGUUAUUGGAAAUUUAAAAGUUUUUCCAAAAGAAAUGUGUAGCUUUCCAGUAUGACCUUCAUAAAGGAGUCUUCUAAAAGGUUGUCCUAUCAACAGGUCGAAGUCUCAUGUAUCAAAGAUAUAAAAGUUCAAAUGAACCAUGGAGACUUCUACCAAUAAGGGUAGGACAUUAAUAAUUCCAAGACUGGGGACUAAUCGUUUCGAAGAUUCCUUUAUGACCUUUGUUGUGGGGGUUAAGACCAAAUUUUUAAAUAAUUUAAGUGCAAAAGAUUUAGACAUGAUGUUGGUCCCCACGACAGGAUUAUAGAGAGCAUCAAAGUGAUUAGAAUCAUAAGCACAACAUAUAGUUAUAGGAGGUGUGUCCAAACGGAUCACAUCAGAGGAAAGCUCUGACUCCUCCAACCAUUCGCUACUCAUGACUGAGAUAAGCUCUCUCAAUUCAUGUUCACUUGGCAAACAAAUGCUAAAAUGGCCAUUUUGGGGUCUGUCUAUAGAAUGGUAGUUUGAAAUGUUUCCAAAAUCGGCAUAACGGUCAGAUUUUAUAUCCAGCAUGAAAUCAGGUGGUGGAAUUUUUCCUUUUGUGGCUCAAAACUUGGGAUAACUAAAGUAGAUGGAGAAUUUGGCAGAGUGUCUACUUCGGCUUUGUGGGUUCCACAAUGAAUGGUAUUAUCCAUCUCAGCUUCUAGGAAUCUAUCUAGGAUCACUCUAGCGUCAUAAGUAGGGAUGCGAAAGAAAGAACCACUAGACAUUGUAUGUAGCAUUUGUUUAUGAUCUUUCUGAAGACCUCAAAAAAAGUGAAAUAAAAGAACAGGGUCUUCAAGAUUAAGGUUUGGACCAGAUUCUAAAAGAUCAGAAAAACGUUUCUAGGAUUUUCCCAAAGUUUCAUUAUCUUUUUGUUUAAAAGAUAGGACUUUGAGUCUAAGGUCGCCGAUACGGUCGAGGGAACAAAAAUCUAGACAAAAGUUGGCUAGACAUUGUAUGUAGCAUUUGUUUAUGAUCUUUCUGAAGACCUCGAAAAAAGUGAAAUAAUAGAACAGGGUCUUCAAAUUUAAGGUUUGGACGAGAUUCUAAAAGAUCAGAAAAACGUUUCCAGGAUUUUCCCAAAGUUUCAUUAUCUUUUUGUUUAAAAGAUAGGACUUCGAGUCUAAGGUCGCCGAUACGGUCGAGGGAAUAAAAAUCUAGACAAAAGUUGGCUCGUAAGACUCCCCAUUCACCUUGUUGUUGACUUACCUUUUGACUAUACCAUUGUCUAGCUUCUCCCCUUAAAAAAAGGAAAAAGCUUCCAAUGUAAAGUCUUAUCAGAAAUGCCUUCAAUGCAAAGACAAUCACAUGUUUGCUCAAAAUCUCUAAUAUGAAGGUAAGGGUUUUCAUCUUCCUUUCCUGAAAAAGAUAUGUUUUGAAUCAUGGCAAUCAACCUGGAACUUAACCUAUACUGGGAUGUUUGGAUAGGCUGUGAUGACUCCCAUGGUAAAAGGUCAUUUUCCGAAGUUGUUGCAAAUUGAUAGAUCGAUCUAGAAUCUUGGUUUUCCAUAAGGUAAGAGUAAAGAAUAAAGAAUAUAAAAAGAUAAGAAAAGAUAAAAGUAUGAAUACAAGCUAGUAGUAAGACUCAUGGUUAUCUCAGCAAACAGUCUUUCUCCCCGACAACGGCGCUAGAAAUGCUUAUUGAUAUUUGGUAACGCAAUCGGGAAUUAAUCCGCAAGCGCACGGAUAUCGGUGAGCACUUCACCCGGGAUGUUAUCCAGAGUAUCGUAUUUAUAUUUUUACCACUAGGAGAAAGCGUGCAUCUGACUAACCCGGUCUAUUACUACUAACCUUUAGGCUACAAACUAUGUGAUUCGAUGUGAGUGAUGUAUAGAGAAGACUACAACCGCACUCUCGUUCUAACCUUGGUAAGGAUGAUCUACUGUUGUGUUGGGGAGGCUCACGGAAUCUAGACACCACAGAGGAUGUUCGACCCGCACCUAUAAACCCUAUUGAUCCUGCUAAUGGGAUAUGGGCUACAAAGGUAACUCGGAAAUGUCACGUUCCUUGCUACUACCAUGGUCCAGCUAGUCAGGGGAUAUCUAUGAGUAUCCUAGCUCAAACACCACAUUUACGCUAGAGAUGAUUACUCUAAACUCUACGCGAAGAGAUCAAAGUAAACUCAUAAACCAAAUAACAAUAAAACAAAGAACUUACUAGAAUUUAGAAGUCAAAAUACUGAAGAAUCCUAGGAGCAAGCCUUGGGUUAGGAGACUUGAUCCCGUAGGUACAACCUCGGAGUAGACACCGACAGGCCGGGCUUCCUCCGAUCUACACCUCCACUCUAUCUCUCUCAAUCUAGUAGAACUAGUCUACUCUCACAUUGGAUGCUAUGCCUUAUGAGGUGGGAACCCUAAGGAACCUCUCUCUCUGAAUCCUCUCUGGAAAAUAUGCUAAUGAAUAAUGGGGAUUCUAUCUCUCUAGGGGCCAGGGGCCUUGCUUAUAUAGCCUUUUCAAAUGAAUCUGAGCCAUCGGAUCAAAUCGACAUUGAUUGAACGGUUCUCCUUGAUCCUCAAAGGCGGUGGAGCAUAAUCCACGUGAUUCACCUUGAUUGGCCACCAGAGGUGGGCGGGCGCCCAAGGGGGGAGGGCGGGUGCCCUGCCCCCGGGCCCAACCGGCCUCCCGUUCGUUCCCAUGGCUUCUGGACUCUUCUAGAUGUUGAAUAAUCGUGGUGCACGUUAAUAUCUCUAUCUAAACCCGACGUGUGGGCCUUUCUUCCAUAUUUCCUGAUAACCCCCUGCAGAAAUAGAUAAACAGCAAAACUCGUGGAAUUCUGUCAGAUCAAACCCUAAUUCUAGGUGUUGCUUGUAUAUUGGUCCUUUUCCUUGUUUAUUUCAUGAUUAAAAUUGAUACUUAAGAACCAUCAACAGUUGACUUCAUGUUUUCUCAACUGUCGUGAAGCAUAAGCUAUAACUCUACCUUCUUGCAUCAGCACACAUCCCAAACCACUUUUCGAUCCGUAACAAAACACAUCAAAAGGCUUCUCGAUAUUCAGUUGUGCUAGAACAGGAGCAGUGGUUAGUAGCUUUCGCAAGGUGCGGAAGGCUACUUCACACCCCUCUGUCCAGGCGAACUUAUGAUCCUUUUGUAGCAAACUGGACAUUGGCCUAGCUAUCUUGGAGAAGUCGGGGAUGAAACGACGAUAAUAUCCGGCUAAACCAAGAAAGCUUCGAACUUCCGAGACAGAAGUUGGUGCCUUCCAGUCCAGAACUUCCUGUAUCUUUGAUGGAUCCAUAGUGAUCCCUUCUUCUGACAGAAUGUGUCCUAGGAAUGGGACUUUCUUUAGCCAGAACUCACACUUGCUGAAUUUCGCAUAUAACUGAUGUUCUCGCAGUUGUGAUAGCACGACCCUCAAAUGCUCAGCAUGAUCUUGCUCAUUUUCUGAAUAGACUAGAAUCUCAUCGAUGAACACUACCACAAACUUGUCUAACUCUGGCAUAAAGACUGAGUUCAUUAGAUACAUAAAGUAUACAUGAGCAUUUGUCAAUCCAAAGGACAUGACAAGAUACUAAUACAACACAUAUCUGUUAGAAAAAACUAGUCUUUGGUAUAUCUUGCGGGCAGAUCUUGAUUUGGUGAUACCCAGACCUCAAAUUUAUCUUGGAGAACACUUUUGCUUUUGACAACUGAUCGAACAGGAUACCAAUCGACGGCAAGGGAUACUUAUUCUUGAUCGUCACUGCAUUGAGUGGGAGAUAGUCCACGCACAUGCGUAGGGAUUGAUCCUUCUUUAUCACAAACAACACCGGACAAACCCAUUCCAAUGAACUUGGCCGGAUGAAACCUUUGUCCAGCAACUCUUUCAAUUGGGUUUUCAGUUCAGCGAGCUCAUUUGGUGGCAUUCGGUACGGCCUUCUAGAGAUUGGUGUUGUACCCGGUAUCAACUCUAUAGCAAACUCUACUUCCUUAUCCGGGGGAUGUCCUGGCAACUCUUCUAGAAAACAUCAGGAAACUCGCAAACCACGAGGAUUUGGGGCAAAGGAACCACUUGUGUAGCACAAGAGAUGCUAGCAAAGUCAAACCAACGAGACAGGGGUACUUGAAAAGAACCACUGCCCUAAGGCUCCCUGAGAGAUAACACCCUUUUCCCGACAUCUAUAACAACAUCCCACUCUUUCAUCCAGUUCAUGCCAAUGAUAACAUCCAAGGCUAACCCAAGCAUGACCACCAGGUUCACUCGAAACACGAGAUUACUUAUAUCCAGGGUUGCCCCUCGGACCACUCUAUUGGUUAGCACAUCUGCCCCUACUGAGCUGAUGCGAUAGCCAUAACCCAGACCUGUAACUGCUUGGUCAUGCUUUUGUGUGAAUGCUUGGCUCAUGAAUGAAUGCGAUGAUCCAGAAUCAAACAAAACAACUGCAAGAUGUUGGUUGACAGGGAACAUACCAGCUGUUACUGGUUCUCCUUCCGGGAUCUCCUCUAUCGAGGUGUGGUGCACACGGGCUGGGUAGGUCGUCUGCUGUUUUUGGGGUAGGGACAUUCUUUAGCAAAGUGUCCCAUUGUGGCAGUUGUAGCAUGGCCCCUUGGUCAUGGUGUUGGCAGCAGGUGCUGCAACUUGAUUCGCCCUUUGGCCUUGCUGGAGCCACUGCUACCUUGUACGGCUUCUGCUGUGUUGGAUGUCCUGUAUUUCUCUUUUGCGGAGGUUGGAACCUAGCACCCAGGGCAGGAGGACAAUACUGCUGAUGUCCUGCCACUGGUGCCCUGGACUGAGACGAUCCGGCUUCAAAAGCCCUCUUUCGCGACUUGGAUGCACUAUAGCUGUUGUUAUUGUUCUCCUGGGUCAGACAGUCACUGAUGUAGGCAUUGAAAGUAGCCCGGGUCCCUGUGCCCACAGUCUUCAGCAUCUUCGGGCUCAAGCCUCUCUAGAAACUAGCAAUCUUCUUGGCAUCUAUGUUAACGAACUCUGGAGCGUAGCGAGCGAGAUUGUUGAAAGGGUGGAGAUACUCUUUCACAUACUUGGUUCCCUGAGGCAGCUUCAUGAAUUCUCCAAUCUUCAUUUCCACCACACCCGGAGGAAUAUAAUUUCCCCGAAAGGCGGUGGUGAAGCGGUUCUAGGUGAUCGGGGUCCCCUCUAGAUAGGUGGUACGAUGAUGGGACCACAAAAUCCCAGCAGGCGCCUGCAGCUGAUGCACUGCAUAUUCUGCCUUGAGCUCCUCGGUAAUCCGAAGGAGACAGGAACUUCUGCUCCAUGGUGUUGAUCCAUUCAUCUGCUUCAUGCGGUUCCACGUCCUCUUUAAAGACUGGUGGUUUGGUGUCCAUGAAGUCCUUGAAAGAGCUUUACUGAUUUACUUCACGGCCACCAUGGUUAUCCCCACGACGGGUGUUGUCGGUGAUAUUGCAUAGGGCUUCUUCCAUGUUGCGCUGCAUCUGUUCCAUGUUUCGCUAGCUCCCCAGAAACCGCACGAAAAACACGUCCGCAGUGUACAGAGGGGGCGGUGGUUGUGGCGGUGAUGGUGCUCUUUCCUCAUUCCUGCGAGCCUCACCUCCGAAGGAACCUUCUCCAACACCGGGGUUGCUGUUACCCCAACCACGCGUUUGCACCAUCUGUAUGCGUCAAUGAUAAGCAGUCGUUAGGAGUUGUUAUCAACUGGUUGACAUAUGCAAAAUCAUGCCCUUACUGAAUUUACUGAUGAGAAAUAAAUCCACACCAUAAAUAGACGCACAAUAAAUCAUCCACACACAACAUCACUAACUAAUUACUUAACAUUAAACCAACAGGGUUCGCAUACUUCAUAAUUGCUAGCAUACAUACACUGGACUUUAGCAUCAACAUAGAUUCAACACAUAAAGUCUUACACAUCCAAGAUCCAACAGAUUACAAACACAUGCCAUGCAACAACAACGGCGAAAGAAGAAGAGCUAGCUCUAGAGCCCUAGCAUCUACUCGCUAUGGUCACUGUCCAUGCCGGAGCCUUCCUCGUCCUCAUCUCCACUAGCGGCUGCCUCCAUCUCUGGAUCCUCAUCCAUCUCAUCCUCAGAAUCUAAAUCAGCUGCUCCAGGCAGGUGGUGAGGACAGAGCUGGUUAUGCAGCUAGUGAAUCACCUCAUCCAGGUUCUCAUUGUACUCCUCUGCAUUGGCUAGCUGCUUGUUGGGAAUUUUAAACGCAAACAGAAAAAUCCGCAAGCGCACGGAUACCGAUGUAGCUUUCACCCAAGAGUAUUCUAGAGUAUCGAUUUUCCACAGGGAACGUGAGUGUACUAAUUAAGAUUCAAGAUUGCCCAAGGAUAACUAUAUAAUUAUUUUUGGUGGGAAGAGAGGAAGUUUCCUGAGAGUUCUCUAGUUGAUCUAAGAAUCAAGAAUUACUUCAAAGAUUAUUUAUUUCUGACAUCAGAACACUAACCACAGAAAGAGAUGAGAAGGGGGCUAGGAAGCUCUGACUACGGUCCUACAAACAACGAUCCGAACAAGGUGGAAUACGUCGACCGUUAGGGCUGUCACUACCCUAGGGCUACCACAAUAAUCCGCAGGAUUGGGUGCGAUUCCAGGUAAUUGCAAGACUAAACACCACGUCUAAUCUAUUAAUUACUACUCUAGCGUUAUAAAGACUAGAGCACUUGAUGCAAGUGAGAAUCCAAUAAAUAACUUGAAUGUAAAUAAAAGUAAUUAAAGAACUCAGGAAUUAUGAAUUGAAGAACUUGGAGAACGAUGAAGAACAAAAAAGUUGCUGCAAAAGUACAAUGUUGAGGAAGAUCCGACAGAUCCGGCUCCUCCUCCUCCGCUCUCCUCUUCUCUCUCCCUAUUUUAGAUUACAACUAGAACAAACUAGAACUAGAACUAGAGGAACUAGAACUAGAUGAACUAGAGCUAGAGGAACUAGAGCUAGAACUAGAUAAACUAGAGGGAUCCUCUCUACUUGGAUGAAGAAUUGAAACCCUAACUUUGAUACUGUAGAAGAGGUAUGCUCUCUAGGGGCCAGGGGGCCUUGCUUAUAUAGUCUUUUUAGAUGAAUCUAGGUCGUCGGAUCAAACCGACAUCAAUCACACGGUUUUCCUUGAUCCCUUAGGUCGGUGGAGCGUGAUCCGCGAAACGGGUCCGAAUUGGACACUGUAGCAGGGCGGGCACCCAGAAGAGUAGGGCGGGCGCCCUGCCUCCGAGCCCGAUCGCCUUCCUGUUUGUUCCCGUGGCUUCUGGAGUCUUCUAGAUGGUAGAAAAUUGCGUGGCACGUUAAUAUCUCUAUGUAAACCUGACGUGUGGGCCUUUCCUCCAUAUUUCCUGAUAACCACCUGCAGAAAAAGACAAACACCAAAACUCGUGGAAUUCUGUCAGAUAAAACCCUAAGUCUGGGCGUUGGUUGCAUAUAAGUCCUUUUCUAUGAUUAGUUGAUGGUUAAAUGUGAGCAUUAAGGACCGUCAACACUGCUGCUCAAGCUCUAGCUAUUGGGCCCUCAGGGUGUCCUCCUCGUGCCAGGCUUCAUUCCUCUGACCAAGCACAUGAACUAGCAUGCGCUCGCAGUUCCUAUGAGCUGUGGUCACCCUGUCCCUCUGCUCUCUCACUGCGAGUAGGUCCUCACUCAGCUCACUGUUCUGCUGGACUGUUUGGUCCCUCUCUAGAGUCACACGAGGAAACUCUGCCUGCAGCCUCUCAACCUCACUGUCAAACUCAUGCUGUAGCUGGCGCUUCUCAUCCUGAACUGUCAGAAGAGACCCAGACAAGUGUCCCAAACAACGCUCUAGACCCCCAUAGGUUUUCAUCAUGGCAAACAUAGCACUCAUAGUUGUACUGUCACUGUGCUGAUCCUCAUCCGCACUCCUCUCUAGAGCUUUCACCUCGGACUGAUCCCACACCGAAGUGUAGGGGUCACCCUGGGGAAACACUCCAGCGAGUGUGGGCCAGCUCCUGCGGAAACCUCUCCACGAUGUCCCUUAGAACCGCAAAAGUAGCCCUGCUGGCACCCUAGAAAGGCGUGGUACCUCGGGACUCGUACACCCAGCCACCCUAGGCGGGGUCACCUCCACUAGUCGGGAUCACUGCCUCAAUCCCCACCAGGAUCCCAUCACCGAGCUGCUCUCUGUUCCAAUAGUAGCAAGGCUCCCUUCCUUCAGGAUACCCCAUCGAACUGAGCACUCUCCAAAGCAAAGUAGGCAUCCCAAACUCCCCUAGGAACUUGCUCUUGUGACGUGAGCUCCUUGGUGCUAAUUGGUGGCGAGGGGCCCGCCCACCACUGGACUUGCGAGCGGUGAGCCGAGUGCGUGCCAUCUGCUGAAAAUAGAAUACCUUGGGUAUGACUGAGGAUUAUUGUAACACCCGGCCCAAUGCUUAAUAGGAUUAAUAGGAGACUCAUACCAACAAGUUGCAACUUCUUUUCUGGGAGCCUAUCUCCAAAGAACUCUAAAGUUAAGCGUGCUUGGCCUAGAGUAAUUUAGGGAUGGGUGACCGACCGGGAAGUAGUUCCCGGGUGCGCACGAGUGAGGACAAAGUGUGCAGAAAAGACUAGUGUUGGUCUGUGGGAGCUGUCUAUGUCCUAGAAAAGCUGCCAGAUGUAAGCGGGCCCGGCCUCGUGGAGGCGGGACGUUACAGAAUGGUAUCAGAGCCGACUCUCGCGGUUUCACGGGCGCGUGUGUCGCAGUUGCACAGGCAUGGUGUGCAUGGCUGGUGUGGACCCAGAGUGGUCACACAGCAUGGCACAUGCGCUGGCACUAGAUGCACGGACGUGGCCAAGAGAGGACGUUCCUGGCUUGGGGUUGAUCGACGAGGACAUCGAUCUAUUAAGGGGGUGAGGAUGUAACACCCGGCCCAAUGCUUAAUAGGAUUAAUAGGAGACUCAUACCAACAAGUUGCAACUUCGUUUCCGGGAACUUAUCUCCAAAGAACUCUAAAGUUAAGCGUGCUUGGCCUAGAGUAAUUUAGGGAUGGGUGACCGACCGGGAAGUAGUUCCCGGGUGCGCACGAGUGAGGACAAAGUGUGCAGAAAAGACUAGUGUUGGUCUGUGGGGGCUGUCUAUGUCCUAGAAAAGCUGCCAGAUGUAAGCGGGCCCGGCCUCGUGGAGGCGGGACGUUACAAUUAUCUUUUAUCAUUUUAAUUGAAAUUGGAACAGAUUUAAAUAAGGGGAGGAAGUAAGUAAUGAUAUGAAACGAACAUGAUGCAUGCACGAAACUUACGACCUCACAAACUUAGAAACAAAAGUCAAUACUAAUCGGUAUAUGCGGUGGCACACAACGUUCUCUCAUAACAUAACUAGCGUUCUAUGCGAGAACGUCGUUAGCGAUGCUGAACAAGAAAUUAAAACUAUGGACCCCACAAACAUAGGUACCACACCUAUGUAUAUGACGUGCCACUACCCACAUCAUCGUCCUAAUGAUGGCAUUGCCUCUCAGGACGGAAUCUCCCAACAUGUGGUACUGUUCCCAGGCACACUGGAUAUGUGUGCAUGACAUAGCACCCUAAAGCACUUCCCUAGAUCGGCAGUGUAUCCGAUCAUGCUCUCACAGCUCCCACUUACCAGGACGUAGAGGAAAUUGAUCCAUUCAUUACCACUCAAAUGAAUGGCACUCAUUAUUACAUGCCAUAUGAGCGAUGAAAUAGAAAUAUGAUGCAUAACCCCCAAGUCAGUACUUAACUAGCCACCUUAGAGUCCUUAACUGGGCAUAAAGGAUAUGACCAUGGCACACUGAUUAGUUUUCCAAAAAUUCGUUUCCACACCAUGAUUACCAUUAAUAGAUAAUUAACCUUUAUUAACCGUUUUAAGUUUGUUUUAGAACAUACUUAUGAUCAGUAAUCUGCUGAACCUUGCUUCGGUACCAGCUGUAAUAGAACCGCCCAAUUUAUAAGAGAUUAAGCCUAAUAGUGACCAUUUGCAUAGUCGAACCAUCAAGCUUAAACCUAUAUAAUCCCGGUAGUCUGUGAAAUCUCGAAGGAUUUCAAACCACAACGCAUACAUACAGCCAAGAUCGUAAUAAGUCCAGCGAUCACCAUUCACAGUUACAUUCCAUUCACGACAUGCAGCGAUUACAUCGGAGUUCACUUAAAGUUAUUACAAACCAAGGCCAAGAGUAGCGGAAGCAUCAUAGUUUUAAAAUAACACACACACUUAGUCUGAUACAGUGCCAUAGUUUGAUUAUUCCCACAACAGCAAAAGAAGAGGAAAAGUGACCAUCGCCCUUGGUCUAGUCAUCACCCAUUGCUGGGUACAAGUAGUGAAUGCAAUAACCAUAGUACAUCUGACCAUCUGCAAAACAACAUGGGAAUGAAACCCUGAGUACGAGAAUGUACUCAGCUAGACUUACCUGUCAUAAACCAAAAUAAAAGACUCUUCAAGGAUCAUCAAAGCUGUAUAGUGGGGUGGCUGAAACCUUUUUGCACAAAAGCGUUACCCAUCUAGAAGUAUAUUUUGAUAUCCUCCUUUCUUUUAUUUAGCUCAAGUUAAGUAUUAUCAUUACCUAUCAUCCAGAUUUGCACCUGUACUAUUGCAAACAAGUGUUGUAAUAUGAUAGUACCUUAUCAUAGCAUUCACAAUUCAUUACUUAUCAUAACCCAUGUGUUUCAUAUUCCUUACUACGAGGACGAAGCUCAAGUCAAGUGCUCACAAUCCAGGAGUGAGGCGAUUCGAAUCAAUUUCUGACCAGCUGGCGAGUUUAUUCCCCUUACAAACCACACUCACUGAUCAAGUGAGCUACAGAUCAUGAUAUUACACUAUCCAGGACCAAAUCGCGGGUUCGGCAGGCACUGCCAGUACCCGAGGACCGUUCCGGCGACCGAGGUAUCCAAGGUAUACCAAGGUUGUGCACCGUGCCCUCGUCGUUCUCCUCAACCAUCACCAAUACAGCGCAUGGCGGCUCGACUCCUGGCCCGGAUAGUGUUCAGGCUUCACGGUCGGAACGACUUAUCUUUCCAGCUAAGUGUGGGGCAUCCGUUUAACAUGACAAGAGGGCCACCAACGAUCGGUCCUUAAUCGACACAGGCAGGGGCACUACGGUCAACACCACCAUAAGACCCUGCCCGGUCUCGCUUUUCUUUCCCACACUUGGUUACUUUUCUUCAUAGCACUGACAGCUAACAUUCAGGUAUCCACCUAUAUCUCGUAGGUGACAGGAAAUCACCCGACUUCUACCGUACUAAGCGGGCUAAGCAUAGACUCCGAGCCUAUCUACAUAGGACAAGAUAGAUAAACAGGUGGUGAUAUCAAGGAGGAAACAUGCAUCAACGGUGUCAAGCAACUCCUACCACUUAAAUGCAGCAUAGUAAAACAAUCAUGAUAUAACAAUUUAAGUUAGCGAGAAUAGGGAGACUUAGAAUGCUCCGGGGCUUGCCUCUCUCGAAAGUGCUAGGCCAGUGGUCCGGGCACUCCUGCAGUCUCCUUCCGGCUCGGGCCCUUCCGGAAGUUCUUGCUCCUAUGUCUCUUCCGGUUCCUCGGGUCCCACCUUGUUCUCCUGCGAGCCUGUAUGAUGCAUGUGUGCUCAUGAGUGGAGUGCAAGAUGUCUGAGGUGCAAUGCAUAUGCAUGUCAAUACAAGAUGAUCAUGACAUGGUGCAUAGAAGACAUAAGAAAUUAUUUCUACAAGGUAGUCAACAUCAUCCAAGGAUAUGCAACCAAAUUAAGCAUCUAUUGCAUACUCUUCUAUAAGUUGUUAUCAUUUUUAACCAGCAAGCUAUCAUGAUGCUUCAAAGAUACACCAAACACCAUUUAUUCCAUUUAUCUCAUGUAUAACAAGGUUUAAUUUAUUUAUCUUUGAUUAGACCUAUAACAGUAGCAUAUAUUUCUGAUCAUCAAUAAAAUCUACAAAAAUUACAGUAAGUCACUGGUCAUUUAUAAUGUUUACCACAAAUUUUACAUAAUUGUUGGACAGGUAACCUGGCCUACACAAAAACCACAAGUUUAAUCAACACAACUAAGUGUAAAUACCCUACUGAUGAUAAAGUGUCAAACAACAGAUUUCAUAUUUUUAUAAAUUACUUACUAACAUAAGAAAUGCCCACAAAAAUUUUUAGAUUAAUUGGAUGAACCAGUUAUUUAUUAAAAAUCAUAAACCUUUGCCAUGCAAGAAUUUAAAUCAUCAUAAAUUAAUUAUACAGCAAAUAUUGUGUCACAUAUUUUUCCCAGAGGCUAAACAUCUGUGCAAAGCUAGCAAAACAAGAAUUGUAUUUUUCUGAGUUUUUUUCUAUUUACUAUGCAUUUUCCAAAUAUCAGCAAAACAUGGAAUAAUUAUAUUUUUACAGAAAAGUUGUACAAACAUGACAUGCAAUUACACCAAGUUGUAGAUCUGGAUUUAUAGAACACAUCAAACUUUAUUUCAUCAUUUUUGGAGCUAUGGAUCUCAAGAUAUGGAUUUAAUACCAUUUAAACAUUUUUCUGGAAAACAUUUUCUACAAAUCUAUUUCAAAACAGCGCUGGAAAAUGCUAGGAACACCCAGAUCUCUACCCGCCUCGGUCUCCUUACGGCUGACAGUGGGCCCCCGACCCCACUGGUCAGCGUGACUAAGAGGAGGAGCACCUCCGACGAGUAGAUCUCGCCGGCGGUGAGGUCUACGGCCACGGGAUGAGCACCAACGUGCUCCCCGCAGUGAGGCGCACCCGAGGGUGCCCUUAGCUUGGCCGGAGCACCCUUGCUAGCGUGCAUGGCGGCACGGCGGUGCUGCUCGCCGUGGCCACGCCACUCCGACGGGGUAGAGCGCUCGCGAAGUGCCAACGGAGCUUGCUCAAGACACCCUGAACACGACGCACACGAAAACAAGCGAAAAGUGGUGAGGAGGGGAGAGUUCAAGCGCGGCGGGGCACUCCGACGAGGUUGGUGACCUCCGGCGAGCCAUUGUGGCCGCACGGGGGCUUACCACCUCGGUUGAGAGCACGCAGGGGCUUACCGCGGCUAUGACGAAUACGGCAGAGCUCUUAGCGUGGAGAAUAGCCUGCCGAAACGGCCGGCAAUGAGCGGCGGCGCUCGGCCAGCAAUGGCGCCGCGGCGGCUGCUGCUGCUGCUACGCUCGCGAGUGGGGAAGAAGAGAGAGAGGGAGGGAGAUAGAAUAGAGGGCGGUCUAGGGGAGCGGGGCGGCGUCCCGACCAGAAGGCACGGUCGGAGCGGUCGUGGACCAACGUCGCUAGUGUACGGCUGCCACGUGGUGGCCGUCGGCGUGGGAGAGGCGGGCGCGUCCGUGCGCAGGGAGGAGGAUGGGGAUUGGGCCGCGCGGGCGAGCGGGCCGAAAGGGAGGCGGCCGACCCAGCAGCGCCUGCCCCCUUUUCUCAUUUUUCUUUGAAUUCCUUUCUCCCAAAAAGCUUAAAUUCCAUUUUUGAAGCCCUUGCAAACUUUUUCAGGAGUUGAAGUAAAAAGAAGAAUUGUUCCCCACAAAAUUCUCUAUAACUUUCCUUUAAGAUGCAAGUUCAAAUUCCAAACAGAAUUUGAAUCACAAAUUAAAACUAGUUCUAGGUUUUUGAAUAAAUUCAUUUUGGUGAUUUCGUAUAAACUCAUUUCUCAAAUUCUAGAGCUCCAAAAAUUUCACAAAAAUAUUCUUAAAUCUUCUAAAACACAUUUCAACCUACUUUGUUCAUCACAAGCAAAUUUAAAGCAAGCAUGUUGAUUUAUUCUAUUUAAUUCAUUUAAAUCCAGCACAUAAAAUUAUACUUAAAAUGCUACUAUGCUUAUGUGAUGCUGUGCUCAUGCUUUGCUUGAUGAGAAUGCUUAUGAGUGAGUUUAUGAGACCAAGUGCAUGCUUAACACCUAGGGUGUUACAUGCCAAAGAUUAAAUUCUUUACCUGGCUUUUACUGAUGGACAGAUUGAACACUCGAGAUGUUCUAAGAAGAAGGAAGAAGUUCGAAGAAGAAGGUUACAGCUGUGCCCUGUGGCAUGAGCAUGUGCAAGAGACAGUUUUCCAUCUGUUCUUUGGCUGCCAGUCCUCGGUUACCCGAUGGUUUGCGAUUGGUAUCCAAUGGCAUAAUUCUGGAGAUGUGUGUCAGAUGAUCAUCCAUCAAAAAUCUCUCUUCAGGGGACGUUUUUUCAUGGAUCUUUUUAUGUUGCCUGCAUGGAACAUUGGAAGGAACAUAAUGAUUAUAUUUUUAAUCGUAGAGCACCUUCACUGGCUACCUGGAAGGAAAUUUUCAAGAAUGAAGUUAAACUUCAUCUCUUUAGGAUCCCUCCCUCAAAACGUGUUUCAAUUAUGCAUUGGAUAGACAAUUUGUAAUCUUGAUACCUCCCCUUUUUUCUCUCUAGGUAAGUUUUGUAGGUGAGUCUUUUGUUAGCUUCUGGCUAACAUGUCUAUACUUGCUUGGUUUCUUUCCUUUUAUUAUAUCUUCCUGGGGAGCAAUGCUCCACAGUUUUCGUCAAAAAAAUGAUGGAGAAGACACCAUAUGAGAUUUUGAAUGGUAGAAAGCCCAAUAUUUCAUACUUUCGGGUUUUUAGUUGCAAAUGCUACAUAUUGAAGAAAGGCACUAGAUUGAGCAAAUUUGAAAAGAAAUGUGAUGAAGGCUUCUUGCUUGGUUACUCCACUACUAGCAAAGCUUAUAGAGUUUGGAAUUUGGCUAGUGGUACUCUUGAAGAGGUGCAUGAUGUUGAGUUUGAUGAAACCAAUGGCUCUCAAGAGGAAGAAGAGAAUCUAGAUGAUGUGAGAGGCACUCAAUUGGCCGAUGCAAUGAAGAAUAUGGAUAUUGGUGAUUUAAGGCCUAGAGAGGUGAUUGAUGUUGAAGAUGACAAAGAUCAAGUGCUUCCUACCUCUAAUGUGCAAGCUCGUGGUUCUCAUGAUCAAAAUCAAGCUAGUACAAGUGGUACUCAAGUGCAAGAUCAACAUGCUAGUACAUCAUCUCAUGAUCAACAAAGUGCAAGCAAUCAAGUGCAAAUACUCCAACCAACAAAUAUUGCAAGAGAUCAUCAAUUGGAUCAUAUCACUGGUGAUAUUCAAAGAGGAGUGCAAACUAGAUCAAGAUUAGCAUUAUUUUGUGAGCAUUUCUCCUUGGUGUCUCACAUUGAGCCAAAGAAGAUUGAUGAAGCUUUGAGAGAUGUUGAUUGGGUUAAUGAUAUGCAUGAAGAGCUCAACAAUUUCAAGAGAAAUCAAGUAUGGGAAUUAGUUGAGAGGCCUAGUGAUCACAAUGUCAUUGGUACUAGAUGGGUCUUUCGCAACAAGAAAGAUCAUGAUGGGAUAGUUGUAAGGAACAAAGCAAGAUUGGUAGCACAAGGCUAUACUCAAGUUGAAGGUCUUGACUUUGGUGAAACAUAUGCCCCGGUUGCAAAAUUGGAGGCAAAUAGGAUCUUGUUAGCCUAUGCUUGUGCUCAUAAUAUCAAGCUAUAUCAAAUGGAUGUGAAGAGUGCAUUUCUCAAUGGCUAUAUCAAUGAAGAAGUUUAUGUUGAGCAACCUCCCGGUUUUGAAGAUGACAAGAAACCCAACCAUGUUUACAAGCUAAGAAACGCAUUGUAUGGUUUGAAGCAAGCACCAAUAGCAUGGUAUGAGAGAUUGACAGAUUUCUUACUCUCUAAAGGUUUCAAGAUGGGAAGGCUGACACCACCCUCUUCACCAAGAAGAUUGGCAAAGACUUGUUUGUGUUGCAAAUCUAUGUUGAUGAUAUCAUAUUUGGAUCAACCAACCAAGAAUUUUGUGAGGAGUUUGGGAACAUGAAGGCUAAUGGGUUUGAGAUGUCAAUGAUUGGAGAUCUUAGUUACUUCCUUGGUCUUCAAAUCAAUUAUUGAAGAAUGGCACAUUUGUGAGUAAAGGCAAGUACAUAAAAGACAUGCUCAAGAAGUUUGGUAUGGAUGAUGCAAAAUCAAUUAGCACUCCAAUGGUAACAAAUGGAAGCUUAGAUAGUGACACAAGUGGAAAUAUGGUGGAUCAUAAGUUGUAUCGGUCUAUGAUUGGAAGCCUACUCUAUGUGAUCGCAUCGAGACCGAAUGUGAUGUUUAGUGUAUGCAUGUGUGCAAGAUUUCAAGCCUCACCAAGAGAAGUCAUUUGAAAGCAACAAAGAGAAUAUUGAGGUACUUGAAGCAUACACAAAAUGUUGGUUUGUGGUAUCCCAAAGGUGCAAAGUUUGAACUUGUUGGAUAUUCCGACUCAGACUAUGCAGGAUGCAAAGUUGAAAGAAGAACCACAUCGGGCACAUGUCAACUAUUGGGUAGAUCACUUGUCUCAUGGUCAUCCAAGAAGCAAUAUAGUGUUGCACUAUCAACCACCGAAGCGGAAUACAUUGCGGCCGGUAGUUGUUGUGCACAAAUCCUAUGGAUGAAGGCAACCUUGAAAGAUUUUGGAAUCUACUUCAAGCAACUGCCAUUGCUAUGUGACAAUGAAAGUGCCGUGAAGCUCACCAACAAUCCGGUUCAACAAUCAAGAACAAAGCACAUAGAUGUCGGCCAUCAUUUCAUAAGAGAUGACCAACAAAAAGGGGACAUUUGCAUUGAGAGUAUAGGCACUGAUGAUCAACUUGCCGAUAUAUUCACCAAGCCACUUGAUGAGAAGAGGUUUUGCAAGCUAAGAAUGAAUUGAACAUACUUGACUUCUCAAAUAGGUGUUGAUGCACCCCAUUAUAUGACAUGCCUCUCCUUCAUGCAAAGUAAGGUAAAUUUGUUUGACAUGUCAUCCAUCCUAUGAUAAGGACUUGUUUAAUGCAUCUAGUCAUUCCUUACAUAUCUUAGGAUCAUUCAUGAAAACCAAUUGAAUUUGAUGCUUAUAUGGUACCACUAUUGCUUCUAUGCUUGACUUGAUCUAGUGGUAGCAUAUGACAUGUUUGUGGGCUUGUAAUCCUAGUGUUUGAUCUAGAAUAUGAGCUAGAAGUGUUUAACUCAACAUGGUAAAAGAUAACCCUUAUUUGGAGGUGUGAAGAACCUUGUCCUUGGAUCAAACCGAGUUAAACAUCUUAGGCAAGUAAUCUAGAUUGGACCAAUUUGGUAACAUGAUCUCACUUCACAUGGUUUCACACUAACCUAUCUAAAAUUUGAGCUCACCUUUUGUGGUCAUUGAUGACAAAGGGGGAGAGACUUUGCCAAAGAUUUGCUUAAGGGGGAAAGAAAUCACAAAGAAAUACAAAGAUAGGGAAGUAACAUGAUAAAAGAAGGGGAUCAAUUAAAAUUUUGAAUCACACAAGUAGGGGGAGCAAGCUCAUAAACUUGUAUGUUGCAUUUGUAUGUGUGUUGGGUAUUCUUAACAUCACUACCAAAAGUAGACUUAGUUUUCUAAUUCUGAUAACGGUGCCAAAAAUACCAAACCUAUCCCUCAUACCACUUAAGCCAAGUUGUCAUCCCCAGCAUGACAUGAGAGACGCGGUUUUGAAAUAUGCAAUUGCUCUUCUAAAUAAAUAAAUAAUGGGAUCUGCAAGCACACAGAUUAAUACCGAUGUAGCAUUUUAACCGGGAAGUAUUCCAGGUAUCGUUAUUUAUAUUUUUACCACUGGGAAGGGAUUAGCAAUCAUCAAUAUUGAUUACAGAAUGGAAUAUGAGAUUGAGUAUCUAUCAUUGCAUGUGUAAUUGAGAACAUUUAUCUAACUCUUUUAUACAGGGAUAAGUGUCACAUAAAAGAUAUAUGAAGUAAUGAAUAGUGACAAAGAUAAUUAAUCUGAUCAGCAUAACUUAGCCACAUAAUAAAUAUGAUAAGCACCUCAUUUAGAUACUUUAGAAAAUCAUUAGCAUGGUAUUAGAACGAACUACAAGAAUAUUUCCUAAGUUAUUCUCAACUAUAUAGUCUAGCAUUAUCAUAGUUCGUGCAAGCAUACUUAGCAAUCAUUGCGAGACAAGACUACGCCCAUGCAUAGUGAUAUUAGCAAGGAAUAUGAGAAACAUAGUAAUCACUCCCAUGUAAUAACGUUGCUCUACCAGCCCAAUACAUGAGAGGGCGACUAUAUAAGAAUCAAUGAAGCUGUCACUAUCACGAACUACCCCACGAUCUGGCAUAUUGGGUACAAUCGCAGAUAAAUACGGUAUAAGCACCACGCCUACACAAUAUCUAUCAUUUACCCAUGGAUCCGAUGGAUAAACGCUAUACGAUCCUAAACAUGUAUAUAGAUCCAAUCUAACUAAGCCAAGUAUAUAACUAUGAUAAACUAAGAACAAUAUAAUCUUGAAUAUAAACAAGUAGAGCAAAGUCAUAAGCAAUAUAUUGAAGUAGAACAAAGUCAUAUUCAUAAUAUUGAAGAACAAAGAUGAUUAGAAGAACAAUUAGAAGAACUAUUAGAGAAUUACCAAGAAUCCUCUUGACAAAUCCGGAAACCAAUCGAAGAUUGACUCCUUCUAGUUCUAAUCCUAUGUAGCUAUGCUAAUCUAGAUGUCUAAUUGAUGUGGUGGCACUAAACUUGAUCACAGUCUUCUUCUCCCUUGAGGAAUAAUGAAUUAGGGUUGAGAGGCUCUCUCCUCCAGGGGCCAGGGGGUCUGGUUUUAUAGUCCCUUCAAGUGGAUAUGGGCCGUUGGAUCAAACCGACAUUGAUUGAACGGUUAUCCUUGAUCCUUUAGGUCGGUGGAGAUCGAUCCCGAAAGAGAGUCCUGAUUGGACUCGGAAGGGGGGCGGGCGCCCAGGGCCAGGCUCCGUUCGGCCUCCGCUUCCUUCCCGUGGCUUCUGGAGUCUUCUAGAUGUAAGAUAAUUGCACUGCACGUUGAUAUCUCUAUGUAAUCCCGACGUGUGGGCCUUUCUUCCUUAUUUCCUGAUAACCCCCUGCAGAAAUAGACAAACACCAAAACUCGUGGAAUUCUGUCAGAUAAAACCCUAAGUCUAGAUGUUGAUUUCAUUUGGAUCCUUUUCUUUGUUUAUUUAAUAAUUAAAUUUGAUACUUAAGCACCGUCAACAAACUCCCCCAAGCUUACCUCUUGCUCGUCCCUGAGCAAAGAUAGACUCAGUAAUGGAUCAGAAAUUGUUGCAAUAUCUUUAAAAAUUGAUGGUACACAUGCUUUUAAAUAAAAUCUUAUCUCUGAGUUAGAGUACACCGUCAAUACUUAAAACUUACUUACUUUACCUUUCACCAUGGGACUUGUAACCGUCACUUCUGUCUUGAGUGGUUAAAAGAUAGAACAGUCUAGUCAAGUGUCAUGUCUCUUAUUCUUGAUCACCUAUAGCUCUAAUGUUUUUUGCAGAUUUUCAAAUAAAACUCAGAGAUUCCUUGUAUGACUCUCUCAGAUCUCUCUUUUGUGGUAUUUCUGGAUCCUUACCAAGGCAGUGAUGGUAUAUGCCUUCUCUCAAUAUAUAUAGUAUUUGUGGUAUAAAGCAUAGUGACAUUGCCUUCUCUCUCACCCUACUCUAAUAAGGCUUUAAUAUUUGGAGCUCAUAGGUGGGAGAUAAAGUAUACAUACUUAUAAUACAUUUAUUGUAUAGUCAAACCAUGGAUCCAAAGAAACAAAUCAUUAAGUCAAAUCAAGAUGUGCAUGUGUAGCGAAUGAAUGGUGUAUGGUGAUGAUGGUGAUAACAAUGGUAAAAGUCUAAUUCUACUUUUGCUCUUUUGAGGGGAUACAUACCUUUCUUGCUUUCUGAAACUAUAUGAGGAGAAUCAGAUGCUCUUCUUUUUCUUUUCUCUCAGGUGGGUAUCUUGUACCCCUAAUUCUACUGUCGGACACUUGUCCAUUUUUACCUCUCGUCUCACUUUUUCUUUUCUUUCGAGGUUCCGGGCACUUGCUCCUUUUUAUUUCCUCGUAUCUUUUCUUCUCUUUUUUUAGAGCACUCAUCUCUUGAGAUAAUAUAGCAAGUGGUAGUAACAAGAUAACAUGAGCAUUUAUUUCAUAAGGGAAAAACAGAAAUAUUUUUUGGCUAUUCUCUCCUGGAUCAGGAGUAGAAUAUUUUUGGGUGAUUGUGGAGAUAGAAAUGGGUGGAUAUAUGUGGAUGGUACUUCUGGAGUAGAAGCAGCAUAUGUGAGUGAACGUGCAAGUGAAUUCUAAUUUAACCACAUGACAAGCUCCUAAGGGUCUACACAGCUUGACCACACUGAAUGCUCACAAGCAGUAAAAAGUAAAUGUGUGGCUCAAAAUCUAGCAAGCAUGUAUAUAUGGCUGUGGUAGAAAUUUAAACACUCAUCAUACAGGAACUCAUCAUGCAAUAUUUUAAAGAUUUUUCAAAGAUAAAAUUCUCCAGAAUUCUAGCAUCUCUAGGAACAGAUAAACAUCAGCUCAACCUUCCCAUAUCAUAUCCGUUAACAACUUAGACUUCAGAUCAAGUUUUCUUCCCACAAGUUUAGGUUUAGAGCAAGCUUUAAAUUAUAACAGUUAUGUCUAAACUUUAGAGAGAACUCAAAUUUAAAAAUUAGGCAGAGCAACUAUUCAUCAUAUCCAUGCUAGAGUUUUAUUAUUAAGAUUCAUAUUAGCAUAGCCACUUAAUUUAUUUAUUAAACACACUAAGCAAAAGAUAUAUAUAUAAGCGUAAAAUCUUUAUUUUGUUUUUCAUAGUUAUGUAUAUUUGUAUUUUAAUAUAGUAUAAGUAUAAAGAUAGAUAGAAAUACUUAGCGGGAUAAAUGGGGGUGCUCUCCCCCAAGCUGAAUUUAGACGUAAUUUCUCUUGAUGUAGCUAGCAGGUGGCAGAGGUGUAUUUGAAAGUCGGCAGUAUCUUGACAGCGAUUAGAAUGUCCUCCGUCUGCUAGUCUUCUUGAUUCUUAAAUUCUGUGGAGCUCAAAUAGACAACAAAGCUUUGUGGAACUGAUUAGGUGUUAGCAUAAACAUCUAGCCUUUAUCAUGUUGAGACUCCUCAAUAACUAUUACUCCCUAUUUUUAUAUUUUCAUUUUAUAACGCAGAAAAGAAAUAUUUAUUUUAUUUUUAUGCCACCACAGUGAAUGUACUUAUGGGUUUUAUGCCACUCGUAUACUCACAUGGGGCUCACUAUUUUUAAACAUUUUUAUUUUCUUUUUAGGAUAGUGUGAACAUGAUUAACUAAGUAAACUGUUUGAAAUAAUUGAAACGAAAAAGGAUAACUACCAAGUUUACCUCUUGGCAAGGCGUUCGGUGUUUUUAAGUCCUCCGAACGGGACUCUCCGUUUUCUCAAUUGUCCUGAGGUUCGUUGGGUGGCGUAGUCGGUACUUCCGGCGGUGCCUCUUCUUCAUGUAUAGUUAUCUUCUGUCUCCAUACCUGACUCGGUGCUAUGGUCUCCUCUGGAUAAUUCUGUUUAAAAUGUAUGUCUUCUGACCUUAUAACUUCUCCUUCAUAGUCUGCCCAUCCGUCCUUGAUGAUUUGCCUCCUCUGGUUGUGGUUGCGUCAUUUUCUGACCUGCUUAGAUUCUUCAAAGAUGUAGUUAGGGUCAGUAAAAUAACGGCGUACGUUCUCUGAGGGGAAGUGCAUAUGGACUUCUCCGGUUCCAAUGUAGAUGAUUGCUUUAACGGUGUGAAAGGUCCUAAUAUGGCUAGAGGGGGGGUGAAUAGCCUAUUUAAAAAUUCUACAAACUCACUAGAGCAAGAGGUUAGUAAAAAACAAAGCGAAGCUUUUUCCUCUAGCUCUAAUGGGGUGUUUGCAAGCCACCUAUCCAACAAUUCUAGUUGAUAUAAUCACUAGGCACGCAAGAGCUAUGUCACUACUUACACUAGAAAGCUACCUAAAGUUUCUAUACAAGUAAGUACGCUACUCUAGUUUGCGGGAAUGUAAAAGAGUGGAUGAGAUAAUUAUACCACCGAGUAGGGGAUGAACCAAUCACCAAUAUAAACAAUCAAGCACCGGGAGAAUGCCAAUCAAACACAAUUGAAACGCCGAUUUUUCUCCCGAGGUUCACGUGCUUGCCGGCACGCUACGUCCCCGUUGUGUCGACCAACACUUGGUGGUUCGGUGGCUAAGAGGUGUAGCACGAACCUCGUCCUCACUAGGACACCACAAGAACCAACCCACAAGUGAGGUAACUCAAUGACACGAGCAAUCCACUAGAGUUACCUUUCGGCUCUCCGCCGGGGAAGGUACAAGACCCCUCACAAUCACCGGGAGAUGGCCACGAACAAUCACCAACUCGUGCCAAUCCUCCUCCGCUGCUCCAAGCCGUCUAGGUGGCGGCAACCACCAAGAGUAACAAGAAAACCGCAGCUAGAACGAUCCCCAAGUGCCACUAGAUGCAAUCACUCAAGCAAAUGCACUUGGAAUCACUCCCAAUCUCACAAAGAUGUAUAAUCUAUGAAGGAGAUGAGUGGGAGGUGUUUGCUUAGGCUCACAAGGAUGUCAAGUAUGUUAGAAUGCCAAGAGUAUAAGCCCCAAGCCAGCCAAACACGUAUUUAUAGCCCCUCAAACAAAUAGAGCCGUUGGCUCUUUCACUGGGCGAAAUACGGGGUCACCGGACGCUCUUAAAGGGGCACCGGACGCUCAACACCAGCGUCCGGUGCUCCAACGUCAGCCACGUGUCACGCUCGUGUCAGAAUCUAACGGUCACCUGCAGUGCACCGGACGCUGAGCAAGUGAGCACCGGACGGUCCGGUGCACACCGGACUCAUGCGCAGAGAGCUCCGCAAACUUGCAUGUUCACCGGACGCGAGCCACCGGACGCACCCUCAGCGUCCGGUGCUCACCGGACCCAUGCGCAGAGAGGGUCGCAAAACGCCCGCACACCGGACGCUAACCACCGGACGCUCAAGCCAGCGUCCGGUGCCUAUCGUCCGGUGCCUAACCCUAACCGAGUCAGGCAGCCUGCACACCGGACGCUCAGACACAGCGUCCGGUGCCUCUGAGCCAGCGUCCGGUGAGUGUUUUCUCAGCGAGAAACACUCCCGCGACUUCUCCAAAUUUCCCACCGGCGCAAUAGAAAAUAUGCACUUCAUUUUCUCGAAAAGCGCCGAAUCCCGCCUCGCAAGCUCGGCGGGAGGGAGAGAGGAACCCAUCCCCUCUCUACCCUUGAAACUCCACCUCCUUCUCAAAGUGUGCCAACACCACAACGUGUGUACCAACGAGCGUGCACGUGUGUUAGCAUUUUCACAAUCAUUUUCUUUGAAGGAGUUAAGUUAGCUCACUAGGUUCUAAAUGCAUGCACAUGAACAAUGACACCUAGUGGCACUUGAUAACCGCUUAGCCAAAGAAUUCCCCUCUUUAUAGUACGACUAUCUAUCCUAAAUGUGAUCACACCCUCUAUGGUGUCUUGAUCACCAAAACCAAAACCCUAAGCAAUACCUUUGCCUUGAUCUCCAUAGGGUUUUGUUUUUCUCUUUCUUCUUUUCCAAGUUGAGCACUUGAUCACCUUGUGGUCAUCACCAUCAUCACCAUGAUCAUCUCUUGCUCCAUCACUUGGCAUGUACCAACCUCAUUAAGUCUACACACACUUAGCAUAGAGGUUAGUACUAGGGUUUCAUCAAUUAUCCAAAACCAAACUAGGGCUUUCACGGUGCUGAGGAACGGUCUUCCAAGGAUGAUGGGUGGAUCGUAUUCAUCUUCUCCCAUGUCAAUAACCUGAAAGUCUGUGUAGACAAAAUGAUCGUCUAUUUUGACUGGGACAUCAGUUACUGUUCCUUUAACUUCUCGGAAUGUCUGAUCUGCCAUCUGGAGCUGAAUGUAUGUUGGUUUUAAGGGCAUGGUUCCAAACAAGAGCCGAUAGGUGACUACAGCCAUUAUGUUGACGCCCGAUCCGGUGUCACAAGUCGUCUUGUAGAAGUUGUAUCCAUUUAUGGAGCAGUAGAUGCUUGGCAUUCCUAGGUUAUCCUUCUUGGUCAAAAAUGGUGACUUAAGUCGAUGAUCUUGACCUCCAUGAACUGCAAUGACCAUCUUAGCUGACUCGAUCCACACUUGCUUGUUCCUGUUCCUCCUGUUGGUCCUCUUCCUUGAUUCACGUCUGGAUUGAUCUGGGAUUUGUGUAGUCUUAUUCUUGAAGGAAAACGUCUCCUUUCUCCUUUUGAUGUAGAAACUGAUCUUAGCAGCACUAGCGUAGAUGACAGCUCCCGAGGUGUUUAAGAAUGGCCUCCCUAAGAUGAUGGGUGCCCUCUCAUCAUUACCGGUCUCUAUCACCACGAAGUCUGCUGGGUAUAUAAGGUACCAACUCGGACACAAAGGUUCUUCAAUAUUCCUUUUGGAAAACUUAUCGUCUGAUCUGCAAACUGCAAACACAUGGUUGUUUCUAAUAAAGGAUAUGUAAAGAAUUUUUCAUAGAGUACCCUCGGUAUAAUGUUGACAUUGGAGCCAAAGUCGCAGAGUGCUUCUGGGAAGUCCACCAUGUCGAUGGAGAUCGGGAUGAUGGGGCGUCUUGGAUCGCCUCUCUUGACCGGCAUAAGGUCAAUAGUGAAUUCAGUGAUGGGGCUACCGCAAUUACCUACAUCAAACAUGUCUACAAGAUUUGCAGAUUCUGAGUAGUUAGGCCUUUGUAGAUUCCAACCUUGAUUUUGUUGAGGACGGUUGUAGUAGUUGUUGUUGUUAUUGUUGUUGAUGUAGUUCACAUCCUCAAGCAUCUUAGGGCAGUGAUUGCCUGAGUGUCCAGUACCUCCACACUCCUCACAAGUCAUGUGAGAGUCGUAGAUGUGCAUAACUUCCUUCUUAUCUCCAGCUCUAUCGUCGAGCUUCUUCAUGAGCAGGUCUAGCUUUGCAGACAACAUGUCUACCUCCUUGAGCUGAUGCAUACCUCCACCUCUCUUGCGUGUCUGGGUACUUUCUUCAUUCCAGCCUUGAUUGGACGCCAUCUUCUCCACAAGAGCUGUGGCUUGUGAUAUGAUGAGUGAUAAGAAUGCUCCUCCAGCUGCAGCAUCCAUGGUCUCUCGGGCACUGUUGCCGAGCCCAUGAUAAAACGUCUACAUCAAUAGCCAACUCUCCAUUCCAUGAUGGGGACAUUCUAGGAUGUAGUCUUGAAAGCGCUCCCAUGCUUCUGGAACAGAUUCAUCAUGUUGUUGCUGAAAACUUGUAAUUUUCCCACAGAGAGCAUUGGUCUUGCCCGUGGGAAACAAAUUAGCCAGAAAGUUCGUGGAGCAGAGUGCCCACGUAGUAUUCUUCUCCUUUGUAGCGUAGAACCACUGCUUCGCUCUCCCUAACAGUGAGAAUCGGAAGAGGCGAAGUAGUAUAGCAUCUCUAGGGACUCCUGAUAUGGAAAAUGUGUUGCAAAUCUCCAGGAAGUGUUGGAGAUGAGCACUAGCAUCUUCGUGUGCCUUCCCACAGAAUUGGUUGGAUUGCACCAUGUUGAUAAGUCCAGGCUUGAGCUCAAAGUUGCCAUCGAUCUCUGCAGCAGGUCCAGUGCUGAUGUUGUCCGUAGUGGGAGCUGAGAACUCGCGGAUUGACUUGUUUGCCAUGGCUUCGAACUCUGAAGACAAGUUCCGGUGAUCUUCUUGAUUGGAUGAAGCUUCUUGCUGAAGUGUUGAUGAUCUCCUCUUGAGCUUAGCUCUUGUUUUUCUGAAUAACACUUCGGGAUUGUCAACAAAAAUUCCUGGAAGAUGUCUUCUAUUCAUACAUUACCCUGCAAAAGAUAAAAUGGAAAAAUAUCAGGGUAAAACUGUACGAGAGAAUUGAUAAGCUCAAUCAUAUUAGUGAUGCGAAUGAUAACUCAAAAUCCUAUAUUCAUUCCUGAUUAGGACUCUACCAAAGGUUAUAUGAUUAAGACCAAUAUGAAAAUAUCUAGGAAAAACAUGGUCUUGUAGGGCUAGGUCUAAACCAGAAUUUAUAGAAAGAUUAACAGAUUCCCUAGGUGUAGCUAAAAGUGCAUUAUCUUCUUGAUUAAAAGAUAGAACCUCAGCUAUAGAAAAGGGUUGGUUUUGACCUAUUGCAAUCAACUCCGGACACAGAUCAUAAUUAGGGGCAGGACGUGUUGAGUCCCAUGGUCUAUGGAUGGUCUCUGAAGGUGCAAAGAAUUUAAUAAUAGGUAUGGAAUUUCAGUUAUCCAUAAAGAUAAAAAUAAAAAGAUAAAAUAAUAAAAGUAUAAAAGUAUAAUACAAGAUAAUAGCAAGACUCAAAGUUAUCUCAGCAAACCGUCUUUCUCCCCGGCAACAGCGCCAGAAAUGCUUGUUGAUAUUUGGUAACGCAAUUAGAAAAUGUUCCGCAAGCGCACGGAUAUCGGUGAGCAUUUCACCCGGGAAGUUUUCUAGAGUAUCGUAUUUAUAUUUUUACCAGUGGGAGAAAGGGUGCAUCUGACUAACCAAAUCUAUUGCUACUAUCCCUUUAGGCUACAAAGAAUGUUUCUCGAUGUGAGUGAUAUAUAGAGAAGACUGCAACCAUAGUCUCGUUCUAACCUUGGUAAGGAUGAUCUACUGUUCUAUUGGGGAGGCUCACAAAAUCUAGACAACACAAAGGAUGUUCGACCCGCACCUAUAAACCUACACGUCCUGCUAACAAGAUAUGGGAUACAAAGGUAACUCGGAAAUGUCACGUUCCUCGCUACUACCACGGUCCAGCUAGUCAGGGGAUAUCUAUGAGUAUCCUAGCCUAAACACCACGUUUACGCUAGCAAGUGAUUACUCUAAUACUCAACCGGAAGAGGAUUAAAGUAAACUCAUAAAUCAAAGAACAAUAAAACAAGAACUUACUAGAAUUAGAAGUUGAAUUACUGAAGAAUCUUAGAAGCAAGCCUCGGGUUAGGAGACUUGAUCCCGUAGGUACAACUCGGAGUAGACACCGACAGGCCGGCCUUCCUCCGAUCUACACCUCCACUCUAUCUCUCUCAAUCUAGUAGAAACUAGAAUAUCUAUUUCUACUUACAUUGGUUGCUAAGCCUAAAAAGAAAUAUUAUUUAGAGAAGAGGUUUUCCUUCGAGGGCACCCCUCAAUCUCUAUGAUAAUUUCUUGUCUUCUCCAGGGGCCAGGGUGGUCUCCUUAUAUAGUCCUCCUCCUCUAUGCGUUUUUGGGUCAGUAGGCGAGGUGGUACUAUGUUUUCCUUGAUCCAAUAGGUCAGUGGAACAUCCCGUGCGAAGAGAGUCCUGAACAGGAUCCAGCAGGGGGCGGGCGCCCAGGUCACCAGGGCGGGCGCCCUGGGCCUGGCCCCUUUCGGCCUCCGCUUUCUUCCCGUGGCUUCUGGAGUCUUCUAGAUGGUAGAAAAUUACACGGUGCGUUGAUAUCUCUAUGUAAUCAUGACAUGUGGGCCUUUCUUCCUUAUUUCCUGAUAACCCCCUGCAGAAAUAGACAAACACCAAAACUCGUGGAAUUCUGUCAGAUAAAACCCUAAGUCUAGAUGUUGAUUUCAUUUGGAUCCUUUUCUUUGUUUAUUUGAUAAUUAAAUUUGAUACUUAAGGACCGUCAACAAACUCCCCCAAGCUUACCUCUUGCUCGUCCCUGAGCAAGGAUGAACUCAAGAUUUUCUGCAGUGGUUUCAUGCCUUAAAAGUACACAUGCAUUCAAGCAAGAUCUCAUCUCUGAGUUAGAAUAAAUUGUUAAGACUUAAAACUUACUCAUUUUACCUUUCACCAUGGGGCUUGUAACCGUUACUUGUGUCUUGAGCAGUUAAAAGAUAGAACGGUCAAGUCAAGUGCCAUGUCUCUUACUCUUGAUCAGCUAUAGCUCUGGGGUUUUUGCAGAUUUUCAAAUAAAACUCAGAGAUUCCUUAUAUGACUCUCUCAGAUCUCUCUUUUGUGGUAUUUCUGGAUCCUUACCAAGGCAGUAAUGGUAUAUGCCUUCUCUCAAAGUAUGUGGUAUUUUUGGUAUGAAGCAUAGUGAUAUUGCCUUCUCUCUCACCCUACUCUAAUAAGGUUCUGAUAUCUGGAGCUCAUAGGUGGAAGACAGCUAAUACAUACUUACAAGACAUUUAUUGCAUAGUCAAACCAUGGAUCCAGAGAAACAAGUCAAUAAGUCAAAUCAAGAUGUGCAUGUGUGGCGAAUGAAUGGUGUAUGGUGAUGAUGAUGAUAAUAAUGGUGAAAGUCUAAUUCUACUUUUGCUCUUUUGAGGGGAUACAUACCUUUAUUGCACUUUGAACCUUUUUGGGGAGAAUGAGAUGCUCUAUAUUUUCUUUUUCUUUCCUCUCAGGUGGGUAUCUUGUACCCCUAAUUCUACUGUCGGACACUUGUCCAUUUUUACCUCUCGUCUCACUUUUUCUUUUCUUUCGAGGUUCCGGGCACUUGCCCCUUUUUAUUUCCUCAUAUUUUUCCUCUCUUUUUUUAGAGCACUCAUCUCCUUAAAUAUUAUAGCAAGUGGUAGUAACCAAGAUAACUCGAGCAUUUAUUUCACAGGGAAUAACAGGGAUAGGAAAAUAUUUUUGGCUAUUCUCUCCCGGAUUAGGAGUAUAAUAAUUUUGGGUGAAGUGG